CUAAUAAUGGUCAAUCAAAAAUUUGAAUGAGAAAAUUUAAAGACUGAUUCAAUACUAACCAGAGGUGGAAGUGAGAUAAAUUCAAAAUCAACUGAAAAAAUAUUAUACUUAAAUCUUAACUAAUGCAAUGAAAUAAACCCACAACUAAUUAAAAUAAAUAAAUUAUACUUAAUGAAAAUAUCUUCUAGAUUCAAACCAAAGGAUUUAAUGCUAACAAUACUUCUCAAGUGUCAUAUACUUGCUCAGGUUUCACAUUGUUAAACUCACUAUUUGGCAUUAUAUUACUCAGUUAGAAUUCAACAUAAUAUCUACAUUGGAACAAAUCACACUUGGCCAUAUCUUAGAUGGAUACAUAUAAAAACGAAAUAUCAUUAAGUAAUAUCAUCAAAAUGCUAAGAUUAUAAUAAACACUCAUGAAGAUGAAUUCAUCAAAGAAAAAUACGAGAUUGCAAUGGUUAGAAUAGCUCUGGUCAAACUUUUAUAUAAUCAUGAUCUUACAUUAUACAAAGAAAGAUUGAGGGACAUCUAUUGUGAAAAUAAUUCACAAUGAAUGAAAGAAGAACCGCGAACUAAGAAUCACGAACCAAACCUCAAACUGUAAUUCUUUGUCAACCCGUUUUCUUUUCUGAUCAUUCUCCUGUUCUCUUAUUUUUUCUCCUAAGUUGAAUAUGUGUGUUUUUUCUUUUUUUCUCUAAUGUUAUUUCUCUAUUUUGCUUUCUCUCUGUUACUCUUUCCUUGUUUCUCUCUUUUUCUCACUUCCUCCUUUGCUUUCUUUCAAUUUUUGUUUUUCCAGUUUGUAUCCUUUUUUUAAUGCUCUCCCUUCUCUGUUUUCUAAUGCAUGCAUGUAUAUUUCAUGUCUUCUUCUUCCUUUUCAAUGUUGCUCUUUUUUCCACUUUUAAUCUUCUAUUUUAUUUUUUUUCUCUGUGCUCUCUUCUUUUCAUGUUAUCUAUGUGUUGUGUUAUAUAGGGUAUGGGGUGGGAAGUUGAGGGAGUUGAGGUAGUUUUUUAGGAUAAGAUUUUUUUUUUUUUUAAAAAAGAUAAGAUAAAAAAAAUUAAGAUAAAAUAAAAUAAAAUAAUAAUUAAUUAUGUUUUAUAUUAAAACAAAAUGCAAGAAAAGUUUAUAACUAUCUUAAAAUAUAGUUAAAAAUAUUAAAAUUACUAGCUUAUUUAUUAAAAUUAAAAUUAAAAAAAUGUUUUUGAAUUUCUUUUCGUAUUAUUUUUAUUAAAAAAAAUAUCCCAAAAAUGUAACUUUAUUUAUUUAUUUUCAACUAAAACUUAUUAAAAAUAAAAUAAGACUUAAAAUAAUAUCGGAUCAAACAUAAAUAUUUAAUACAAAAAAAUAUAUAUAUUAAAUUCGGCAGGGUCAAAAAUUACGUGUCUAUAGUGAUUUAGAGGGUGUGCCUAAUUUUGAGGACAACACCUUGGGGGAAAGUGAGAGUGAUCAAGACUUAGGUCCUUGGUUACUUCUACCACUUGAUGUCGGUGCCAUCUUACAGUAUGGUAGGAGUAGUUUCGGCCUAUGUUCUUUAUUUGUUGGUGUUUAUCCUAGUCACUUCUUUUGUGCCAUUUGUACUAAGCUUUUCAUGUUCAACACAAAGGACCCAUGGAUAUACUUCAAGUUUGUCCUACCUCGACAUGACAUGUUGAUGUGUUUAUUUUGCUAACCCUAGCCCUCACGUCAUGAGGAUGUGUGCUUGUUUGUCUCUUCUUUGAUUUUGCAAGAUUUGGGUUCGAGGUCGAAUCCUUUUCAAGAAGGGGAGAAUGAUACAAGCACGACCACGAUGAUGGAGGUGUACAAGUGUGUCAAGAGUCCAUCCGAGGUAAUACAUUGUUAAAGUGUGAAAGGAGGGCUUAAAAGGGCACCAAAACAGUCCACACCAUACACUUGAUGGGCGCCCCACUCUUUGAGGGGCCUUUUGGUCAUUUUAUACUUUAUUUUGUAAUACACUAUAUAUAGAACCUUGUAGGGUUUCAUUAGUUAGUUUUUUUAUGAUGUUGUAAGUCAUAAGACACAAAAAAACACAAGUCCUCUCCCUUUGGAGCCAUAAAACUGAAACUAGGUUUCAACUUAAGUGUGGAAUCACUGUGUUGGAUUGUUGGCUUGAUACGUUGGUGUUUAGAGGAGGUAAAGUCCUUCUUGUGUCAACGUAAGAACUUGGUGUUAGUUUACAUGUUUGUAGGUGUUUUUGAGUUUAAUAUACUCUUUAGUUUCUAUCUUACAUGUUCUCUUUAUUUCAAGUUAUUUAUCCAUUAUCUCUUAACUUAGUUUUGUUUUCUUGUUGCUGUUUUGUGCCUAGUUCUAGUGGACUAUUUUGUGACGUUUUGUCGGCUGUUUUGAGCCAUCUUUGGACCAUUUGGUAUCAGUUAGGACUGGGGGAGGGUACUUAGAGCACUUUUCCUUCUUAAUGCGGUUACACCACAGAUCGACGCUUAGUCGGUUUCAUUUUGCCUUGGUGAUAGAUGUUUUGUUGCUGCAAAUUCAAGGUGAUGAGCCUUACUAUUUGCUUUUUUCGAAUGAUGUGGUCUCGAUUGAUGAAACACAUAGUUGAGUUAAUGCUAAAUUGGAGUUUGGAGGCAAACCCUUGAGUCUAAAUGAUUUAGGUUGGGUAGGUCUUGGACGAAAUAUUUAGAGUGUAAGUUUAGUGAGGUGUCUCAUGAGUCUGAUGUGGUUGUUAAUCUUGAUACUCAUUCUAUCAAUAAGAGAGAUAGUUUCAAGUAUUUGGGAUCUAUGAUUCAGGAGACUGGAGAGAUUGACGAAGAUAUCACUCAUCAGAUUGGGGUAGAGUGGAUGAAAUGGAGGCUCGCUUUCGAAAUCUUAUGUGACAAAAAAGUUCCUUCUAAACUUAAAGGCAAGUUCUACAUAGUGGUGGUUAGGCCGAUUUUAUUAUAUAUGGUAGAAUGUUGGCCUGUUAAGAAGGCCUACAUCCAGAAGAUGAGGGUGACGGAGAUGAGAAUGCUUCGGUGGAUAUGUGGGUGUACUGUGAAAGAUAGAAUUAAGAAUGGGGUUAUUCGGGAUAAGGUGGGAGUGACUUUGGUGGAAGAAAGGAUGAGGGAAGCGAGGUUGAGAUGGUUCGGUCAUGUGAUGAGGAGGGGCACGGAUGCCCCAGUGUGGAAGUGCGAGAGGUUGACUAGGGAUUGUUUCAAGCGAGGUAGAGGUAGACCGAAGAAAUAUUGAAGGGAGGUGAUUAGACAUGAUAUGGAGCAGCUCCAGCUUAUUGAGAACAUGACCCUAGAUAGGAAGUUGUGAAAGAGGCGGAUUAGGGUAGAAGGUUAGUAUGAGUUUAUGAAGUUGUAUCUUUUGUUGUAUUAUUUGGUGUAUCCUGUGUAUAGUAUUAUUGGAUAUAUUGAUUUCUAUUACAUCUUGUUCUUUUACUAUUCCUUGUCUAGAUUAUUUUAUAUUGAGCCAGGGGUCUAUCGAAAACAGUUUCUCUACCUCACAUCUGUGAUAGUGGUAUGGAUUGCGUACACCUACCCUCUCCAGACCCCACUUGUUGGGCAUAUACUGGGUAUAUUGUUGUUGUGUAAUGAUUCUCAUAUUAAUAUCAUGAAAAAUAUAUCUUAAAAUGCUGGUCAAAGUCAUGUAGUUUAAUUUUUUUAAAAAAAAAAAAAAGAAAUGACAAGUAAAAAUAAACAAAAACAGUAAUUAAUUAAUUAUUGCACUGUUAUCCCAAGAGAAAAAAUGGUUACAUAAUCUAGAUACAAAUUACAAGCAAAUUAAGUAUUUGUUACUUUGUGCUAUAUAUAUAUCCCCAAUAAACAUUUUUUUCAGUACACAAAAAUCAUUUUUCUCUUCUUUUCAGAAAAAGAAACAAUAGUUUAACAAAUAUUUUUCUAAAUAAAUCAUGGCAGAAUAUAAGUAUGUUAGUCUCCGUGACCUUAUGAAAAAUCAACCGAUUCAUAUAUCAAAGUUCAAAGAUUCAGAAUUUUACACUGGAAGCACGUCAUCGUCACCACAAUUUUCUUUGAGAAAUUCUUCUUCAGAGGAAUCAAAAAUUGAAGAAAUCGGGUGUUUCUCAAAAAUAUUUGAAAUUUCAUCGAAGUUUGUUUCAUUUAUAAAAGAAUGUUUGUACAUUGACUAAGCGUGCAUAGUUGUGUAUGUUGAAGGUGGUCAGUCAAUAUUUUUUUAUCUAUAUAUUACGUAUAUAGAUGAAAUAUGACUUUUUAUAAUUAUAUAUGAAUUUUCGAAUACUCUUAGCGAAGUUCCUGACUUAAUCACAUCGAUCGAGUCUACUUUUCUUUUUUUAAUUCGUUAAAUUUUCCUGAUUUGUUGCUUGGCUAGGUAAAGGUUCUAUAAAAUUUUGGGGAAAAAAAAAAAGAUUUGGAUUUCUAUUGAGAUAAAAUUUUGUUGGAGUGUUAUCCCAAUGUAAUUGUUAUUCAAUCUUAUGAUGUUAUUAUAUUUUUAUUUCAUAAUUUCAUAUUAUGUAUUUUAAAUAAUUCUUAAAUAGAAAUUGUUCAUUGACCUUUUAACUAAUGUUUGGCUAUGAAUAUUUUGAAAUAUUUGAUUGGUCUUAGGUUUUAGAUUGAAUUUUGAAAUUCCACUUUCAAUUUUUAAGUUCCAAAAUAUUGAUUUUGUGACUUUAACUUACAUAACUUUAUAAAUUUAAGCUUUCAAGUUCAAGUAAAGAAGACCUUAAUCUUGAUUAUAAUAGGGUUCAUUUGAUUGGAUGUAAAUUAUACGGCGUAUGCUAUAGUGAAGCUAAUGGACAAAAAAGGAAAAAUUGAAAAGAUUAAUAUUACUACCUCGUGAAGAAAUUUGCUUAACUUUUCAAAACAGCUCAGCAAUAGUCAGACACGUGCGAAUUAUUCAUGUGAACCAAAAAGUUUGGAUAGAGCCACAUAAAGUCAACAUUGACUAGAAACUAUUGUAAUAUUCAAUCAGUCAAUAUUUGUCGAUUUUGAAUAAAAAAUUUAAAGAAAUAAUUCAAGCCUUUUAUUUUAAGUUUUUUUAUUAGAAUAUAUGAAUUAGUUGUAUAGAAAUUAGUAAUAUGAAAAUUGUUCUCCAGAGAACAUAUAAUAUAAAAAUUAAGGGAAAUUACAUAGAAUAGUAUAUCAAGAUAUUAAAUUACAAAAAAUGACAAUACUUAUUUGAAAUUAGAUUGUGUAGCAUUAAUAGCAUUAUUUUUCCUCUUUUCAUCCUAAGAGAAGUUACCGUGAUUUUUUCCCCUCUUUUAACGCAUUCUUUCCCUCUUUUCACGCUUUCUUCAUAUCUCUCCUUAAUUUAAUUUUUUUUUUCCUUUUUUUUUACGCCAUUAUCAGUGAUCCCCGCUUUUAAUUUUUUCUCUUUCGUUCAUUUCUAUCACGAUCUAAUAAGGAUUGUAUUGCUCUAUUUCAGGUAACUAUUUUAUUAAGUUAUUGCAUGUUAGCAACAACAACAACAAACCCAGUAUAUUUUCACAUAGUGGGGUUUGGGGAGGGUAGAGUGUACGCAGUCCAUACCACUACCUCUAAAGAAGUAGAGAGGCUGUUUCCGAUAGACCCCCUGGCUCAAGAUAAAAGGCAGUAUACAAAAGCAUCAAAAGCAUAGAACACGAUAAAAUAACAUAGGUACGACAUCCAUAAAAAAAUUAUACAUUGCCAAACAAAGGAUACCAAAGUCCACCUAAAUACUGCCUACGACUCAUCCACACCCUUAUCCCUCUAUCCUAAUGCUUUUCCUCCAUAUCCUUCUAUCCAGGGUCAUGUCCUCGGUCAGUUGUAACUGCUCCAUGUCAUGUUUAAUACUUCUCUCGAGUAUUUCUUUGGCCUACCUCUACCCCGUUUGAAACCUCCCAAGUCCAACCUCUCACACCUACGAACUGACGCAUCCGUCCCUCUCCUCAUCACAUGAUCAAACCAUCUCAAUCUCACUUCCCACAUUUUAUCCUCCACUGACACUACUCCCACCUUCACCCGAAUAAUUUCAUUCCUAAACCUGUCAGCCCUUGUGAAUCCACACGUCCAACGCAACAUCCUCAUAUUCGCCACCUUCAACUUUUGGAUAAGAGAAUUCUUAACCGGCCAACACUCUGCUCCAUACAACAUAGCAGGCCGGACUGCAACUCUAUAGAAUUUGUCUUUCAGCUUGGGAGGAACCUUCCUAUCGCAUAAAAUUCUCGAAGCGAGCCUCUAUUUCAUCCAACCUGCCCCAAUGUAGUGAGAGUCAUCCUCAUUUAUCUCUUCAUUUUCCUUAAUCGUAGACCCAAUAUACUUAAAACUAUCCCUCUUGCAAACCGCCUGAGAAUCCAACUUCACUACCACCUAUUCCUUUUGCCUCAAGUCACUAAACUUGCACUCCAAGUAUUCCGUCUUGGUCCUACUCAACCUGAAACCUUUAGACUCUAGGGUUUGUCUCCAAACCUCCAGCUUAUCAUUAACCCCUUGUCAUGACUCAUCAAUUAGAACUAUAUCAUCCGCGAAAAUCAUACACCAAGGUACCUCGCCUUGUAUAUUUUGCGUCAACACAUCCAUCACUAAAGCGAAUAAAAACGGACUAAGAGUUGAUCCCUGGUGCAACUCUGUCAAGAUCGAAAAAUGCUCAGAAUCUCCUCCCACUAUCCUUACUCGAGUCUUUGCUCCCUUAUACAUGUCCUUAAUCACUCUGAUGUACGCCAUCGGGACCCCCCUCGCCUCCAAGCAUCUCCAAAGAACCUCCCUAGGGACCUUAUCAUAUGUCUUUUCCAAUUGAAUAAACACCAUGUGAAGAUCUCUCUUUCUCUCUCUAUACUGCUCUACCAGUCUCCGCACAAGGUGAAUUGCCUCAGUCGUGGAGAGACCAGGCAUAAAACUAAAUUGAUUCUCCAAAAUAGACACAAUCUUCUUCAACCUCCGCUCCACCACCCUCUCCCAAAUCUUCAUCAUGUGACUCAACUACUUGAUAUCCCGGUAGUUGUUGCAACUUUGAAUGUCACCCUUGUUCUUAUAUAAAGAAAUCAUCGUGCAUCUCCACGCCUCAGGCAUCUUUGCUGACUUGAAAAUAUUGCUAAACAAGUUGGUCAGCCACCUCAGCCCUGACCCGCCAAAAAACUUUCAAAAAUCCACCGAAAUUUCGUUGGGCCCCGUCGCCCUGCUCCUUCGCAUCUUGCAAAUAGCCUCACUAACCUCAUCUACCUUAAAACGCCGAUAAAAGCCAAAGUCACGACACUCCCCGAAAUUCUCCAACUCCCCUAACACAACACCUUUAUCUCCCUCAUCAUUCAAGAGACUAUGAAAAUAGGAUUGCAUGUUAGCGAUUUUUUUUUAAAUACUGUAAUACAUAGAAAAUUUGAUUUUAAUGUUUGUAUGAUAUAAUGGCUGAACACACAGCAAAAACAUGAUCAAAUAGUGUUAUACAAACUAGUAAUUUGGUGUCUAAUUAUGUACCAUCUUUUAGUCUGGGUUUAACUCAAGAUGAUAUAGUUAAAGUUGUUUCAAAUGAUAUACAGUCCAAUAAAUCUUUGAGUUCGAAGGAGAUUAGGUCCAAGUUCCGCAACGACCUGGUGAAGAUGACUGAAAUUUUGAAAAAUAAAAGGAUGAAGAAAACUGAUUCUCCAAAAGAACAAAAAACAAAAAAGCACGAGAAGAAAAGAAAAGCCAAAGAAAUCGAAGAAGUAAGUAAGGAUGAUGAUAAUGAUAUUCAGAACUCUUAUGCAGAAGAAUCUGAAGAAGAUAGUGAAGAUGAGGUAUUUUAUUAUUGUAAAUAUUUUUUAUUAUGUAUAUAUUGUUCUAAUAAAGAUCUUAUCAAAGUUGGGGGUUAUAUGUAUUUUUCAAGCAGUUAAUAUGUAUUUUUAGGUAUAUUGUUAUAUGAACUACACAUGAAGAGGUAAUGACUACAUGUAUUUCUAGUUUUAUUUAAUAUGUAUUUUUCAGUUUUGGUUGUAUUUAUGUUCUGUUCAAUAUACAUAUGCAUGUUGUUCUAAGUAUAGAUCUUAUCAAAGUUGGGGGUUAUAUGUAUUUUUCAAGAAGUUAAUAUGUAUUUUUUAGGUAUUUUGUUAUUUGAACUACACAUGAAGAGUUAAUGACUACAUGUAUUUUGUAAUUAUAUUUAAUAUGUAUUUUCAGUUUUGGUUGUAUUUUUAUUCUGUUCAAAAUACAUAUGCAUGUUAUAUGUAUUUUUUUGACUGAUUUGAUUGUGUUUAUUAAGGUUUAGUUUUAAUAGGUAUUUUAUGUUCUACUUAUACGUAUUUAGGGAUUAAAAUGAGCUGAUCUUUUUAACAUUUGUAUUUUGAUUAUGUUUGAUAUACAUAUUAAGUUAAAGGGUAACAUUUGUAUUUUUAUCCUUACACAUCAGAUUUCAUAUGUAUUUUACUGUUCAAAAACAUAUUAUUGCUAUAUGUAUUAUUUUAUUUAAUACAUAGGUGAUUUUUUUUCAAUUUUUUUACUAUUGAAGAAGUUGUAGCUUUACUUUGUAUAGGUGCUAAAAGAUGAAAUAUUCAUUGCAAGAAAACUCCUCAGAUUUGCACCACAUAUGUGCUCUUACAGUGAUAAUGAUAUUGAUGGGAGUAUACGGAUCGUAUUAAACAAGGAGCAUUAUAAAAAAAUUUGUGACAAUAUCAUUUUUGGCUAUUUCAUGAAGAAGAAGCACUGUGUAGUUCAAGCAUAGUUGUGCUGAUGUGUUAUGUCGCUGGAGAUAAAAGGUAGUUCUUCUUCUGCGAUAGUCAUCCGAGCUAAUGGAACUAAUCUUCAUUUUACUCCUAGGGAGUUUUCUAUCGUUACUGAUUUGAAUUUUAUCGCUAAUAGGGACAAAUUUAUUUUUGAUGACGAUGUACCAAACAGGCUUGUUGAGAAGUAUUUCAAUGGUGCAGAAUUUAUACAGAAAAGACAACUAUUUAUAGCAUUCAUGAACAAAGUUUGGGGGGAGAACAACAAUGAGGAUGUUGAGAAGUUUGCAAUUCUGUAUUUUCUGCAUUCUUUUGUCUUAUCUAAUGUUGACACUGUGGUUAUACCCAGACUUCAUUUUUAUUUGGAAGAUAGUAAAAGAUAUAAGAAUUUUUCAUGGGAUACUUUAUCAUUUGAGGAUUUAGCUAGAAGUUUAAACAACAGGUUGAAAGCUGGUGGAAAAUUCUAUUUGAUACAGGAACUGUCAUUGGCUAUUCAAGUGUGGCUUUAUGAGUGUAGUUCUAAUAUCCCCAAAGAGAUUGCAUCAGAGGUUGAUAAUCAAAUUUCUCGAUUAUUAAAUUGGAAGACAAAUGCACCGCAAUCACGUUUUGAGUAUUUGAUGAAUUCUAUGUUUAAUGAUGAUGGUAAGGUAUGUUGCUAGUAAAUACAUAUAUAUAUUAAUAUGUAUUUUACAGUCAACAUAUAUACAUAUUAGUAUUCUAUUGCUUAACAGUUACUUUAACACAUUUUAUUUAUAUUUCUAGGUUGUAUUUAAGAACAUAGGGCCAACUCCAAGGGAAUUGGAGAAGUUUUAAAUACUAGAGAAGGUUGUACUUGAAGAUGAACGUUUGGUUGAUUCGGAUGAUGAAUUUCAGGAUUCACCACCAAAAUGAAUCAGUGAACCUUCAAAAAAAAAAAAAAAAGAUUGAUUAAUCUUCAAGAGCAUUGAAGAAACCGUUAAGUAAAAAGUCUCAUAAUAUUAUUGACGAGGUUGUACAAAAGAAGACACCAGUUUCUUGUGCUGUAAAGGUUGCUGAACUGAAGACACCAGUUUUCAAGCCAAUUCAAUCACGACAGGCAACUCCAUCAAAAAAAAAAAGAAAGUGAAGCAAACAGCUAGGGUUAUUUUUCUUCGGUACAGUCAAAGCUACAGAGUCCUGCAAAAUAAAAAGUUGUGUCAAAGUCAGAGAGUCCUGUGGAGGAAGAAGUCAUUACCUCUAAGAAAGUUUUUGAUGUUUUUCGCGAUGAGGUAUGUUUUUUGUCAAUUACUUGUUUACAUUAAAAAUUUUAUGUUUAUUAAUUUUGUAUGAAAAUAGGUUCGCCGAGAGUUUAAAGGAAUUCGUACACUAGUAAAAAAAAUUCAAUCAGAUGAUGAAAAUAUUUGAACAUAGCAAGGUAAAAUUUUUACUAUUUUAAUAUUCUUAAAAAAAAAAAAUCUGACUUGAUAAUGUAUUCUUAGUUAAUUGACUUAAACAAAUACAGUACAUUUGUCAAAUAACUCAUUAUAAAAUUGUGCACAUAUAUUUUAGGAACAGUUUGCAGAUAAACAAGCUGAACAAUCAAAUGUUGAUGAUGGUGGGUUAAAGAAAUCUGGACAACACUUUAGUGUUGAUGUUGUUCAGUCUUCGAAUAAUAUUAUUGACGUUACAAAGGUAAAUAUUAAACUUUUAAUUACGUAUUUAGUAGUAUCUGCAUAAUCUAUGUUUAUUUAACCCCAAAAUACAUAUGAGGUUAAUGAAACUUUCAAAUUUUGAAUAGAAUUAAACAUUAAAUUUAGUAUUUUAUGCAGUUUUAUGUUUUGCUGUGAUGUUUAGUUCAAAAAUACAUAUGCAGUGUUCAUUUUAUAAUAAAAAAUACAAAUACAUUAGACAUCAUAUGUAGUUUACAUAUGUAUUUUUUGAAAAUAUUGUUAUAACAAUAUUUAGUUUUUGAUUGAUUGAAAACACUACAAUCUGUAAAAUAGUGUGUUCUAUGUUUUGUAUAUUAAUAUGUACUUAAGAGUUUGUUGUUUUAUAAUAAUAUGUAUUUUUAGUGUGUUUGCAUUUACAUCUUCAUUUUGAAAAAGAUUAUACACAUAUUCAGUGAACUUAAGUAUUAAGUUUUUAUUGAACUAGUAUAUAUAUUUGUAGCAACAAAAUGCAAAUAAAGAUUCAGAAAUGCAACAUAUGGGUUUUGCUAGUGCUGAAAUAUCACCACAAUUAUUUAGUCUAAAUGUUGAUAAUGAUUUGGGUGAAAAUUUGAAUGGAACAAAGGUAAAUAAUAUAGUUACAUAUGUUUAGUCAUUUUAAUGCACAUAUGUAUUUUUUUGUUUAUCAUUUAUAUGUUAUAUAUAUAUAUAUAUAUAUAUAAAUGUUGAAAUUGAUUCUCAAGAAUUAAUCCCUGAUGAGCUUCUCCGAACUAUAAAUUCGAAUUACUUACAUUCUGAGAAGGUUGAUCAACAUGAUUGUCGAGUAUGUAUAAUGAAUUUACCUUUGGCUAUAUGUGAUUUAAUAAUUCAGGGGACGAUUAUCUUUUUUCUUUCAUUUUUUAUAGACCAGCGAUGAGAAAAUGUAUGAAACAAUUUUGUCCGAUUCGCAAUUGACAAUUUCAAAUGAGAUAUUACCGAAUCUAAAUGCCUACCGAAGAGAAAGCAUCGUCAAACUUCCUUCAAAAAAUCGUGAAGAAGAAUCUCAUUAUGAAAAUUUGAAUGAUAAAAAGGCUGAGAAUGUUGUUGAAGAUCAAUUCAAGUAUGUAUAGUGAACAUAUAUUUUGAGGUUACGUAUGUUUUAUUGAAUAGAACAAACUAAUAUUUUUUCCUAUUCUUUUGUUAGACGAACAAAGAGAACAAUGGUUUGAGUUUAAAAUCACCGGUGCAUGCAGAGGAUGAACUUGAUACAAAGGAGCAAGUUAGGAUACUUUUUAAUACACAAGAACUAUCCAUUGAUGAACAAAGGGAUGAACAAAAGAAUGAACAAGUGUGGCCUGACUCACAAAACACAAUCCCUGAUGAGUUUCUACCUAGUCUGAAUGUCUACAAAUGAAAAAGCAUCAUUAUUCAUCCCUCUGCUAAUCGUGAACUUCAAACUCCCGUAUAAAAGUUAAGGAUUAGGAGACCAUCCAAAUUCAAGGAGUCGCCGUAUACUGAUAACUUUGGUUCANNNNNNNNNNNNNNNNNNNNNNNNNNNNNNNNNNNNNNNNNNNNNNNNNNNNNNNNNNNNNNNNNNNNNNNNNNNNNNNNNNNNNNNNNNNNNNNNNNNNNNNNNNNNNNNNNNNNNNNNNNNNNNNNNNNNNNNNNNNNNNNNNNNNNNNNNNNNNNNNNNNNNNNNNNNNNNNNNNNNNNNNNNNNNNNNNNNNNNNNNNNNNNNNNNNNNNNNNNNNNNNNNNNNNNNNNNNNNNNNNNNNNNNNNNNNNNNNNNNNNNNNNNNNNNNNNNNNNNNNNNNNNNNNNNNNNNNNNNNNNNNNNNNNNNNNNNNNNNNNNNNNNNNNNNNNNNNNNNNNNNNNNNNNNNNNNNNNNNNNNNNNNNNNNNNNNNNNNNNNNNNNNNNNNNNNNNNNNNNNNNNNNNNNNNNNNNNNNNNNNNNNNNNNNNNNNNNNNNNNNNNNNNNNNNNNNNNNNNNNNNNNNNNNNNNNNNNNNNNNNNNCGUAUACUGAUAACUGUGGUGCAGCAGCCGGUAAGUACACUAAGUUAUAUAUAUUUUUUAAUGUAUUAUGUUUUGCAAAUAUGUUUGUAUUAAUUAUAUUUUUGUAUUUUGUAAUUAUAUGGAGAUCAGUAGGAUAAAUACGUAUAUUUUUCAGAAACAUCCAUUUGUAUAUCACCCGAUUGAUGGGAUAGUGGAUACGAAUAUUGUCAAGAAGUUCAUGGACUGAAUUUCUGUCGACCUUCUAAAAGUUUCUGCUGAAAGGUAGUUCUUUUGAAUUUUUUCAGAUUUAUUUUUUAUAUCUAUUAUGUUUUGAUGAUUUACCAUGUACUUAAAAAAAACAGAAAGGGUAAAGUAGAACAUUACAAGAAGGGCAAAUCAGACAUUUCAAUGAUGCAUUUUGGAGUUCAGACUGUUGAAGAUAAAAAUUGAUCUUACACUAUGAAAUUCGCAGAUCAGUUAUGGACAAACUCGGUUAGUAUAUUAUAUUGAAAAAAAUUUUAUUACAACUGUAACAUUACUUAAAAUACAUAUUAGGUUUCCAUAAAAUCCAUAUACUUUCACACAUAUGUAUUUUUUACUACUCUUUCAUUAGACUUUUAUAUGUUGUGCUAAAAAUACAUGUAUACUUUAGUAAUAUACAUGUGAGGUAUUCAAUUACAUCACAUACUGUCGCAUUUAUUUUUUUCUUACAUUUUCUGCAUAUAAGUGUAGUUUAAAAAUGAAACUAUACAUACACAGAUCUUAGACAUUAAUAUAAAAAACUCAUAUGUAUUUUAUCUUACAUACAUAUGCAAAUUUAGAAUGCAAUUUUUUUAAAAGUUUUAAAUUUUGUGGUAUUAAUUACUGCAGUAAAUUGAUGUUUGCUUCUACUAAUUGAAGAAGAACUCAAAGUACGGGCCGCACAGCUCUUACAAAUACGAGCCAAAUAAAUCGUACAAAUACAGCACAGUAGAUUGCAACUUCAUGAAUAUAAUUAGGGCUUUGAUGGAAGUAUAUUUUGUGGAUGAUCCAAACCUUAAUGCUGGAAGACAGGAGGCCCAUCUUAAUAAAUACAUCAAUGAAUUUCGUAUGCAUACUGCGGUGCCAUGAUAUACAGUGAAAGACAUUUAUAUUUCAAUCAAUAUUAAGGGAAAAUAUCAUUGGAUUCUGGCGGUGUUAUCCUUCUAAGAGAGGUGCAUAUUCUUAUUCAUAUGAAUUCAGUGGUCAUUAUGCAGCUGUUCUUGCGGAGGUUGAGCAACUAACAAUGAUUAUUCCAUUGUGUCUCCAAGAUUGUGAUUUCUACGUUAAGAAAGGAAUUGAUCUUCAAAAUCAUCAAAGAUACAAAGACAAAGACUCAUCAGAUAUGUUUGAUGUUUUAUUUGAAGAUAAUUUGCCUCAACAAAGUGGAAGCUUGUAAGUAUUUUAAUAUACAUAUACCAAAAUUGUAAAUUUGUACAAAAAAUAUUUUACUUAUUAUUCAAUUUUUUCUAUUUUUGUAGGGAUUGUGGAUUGUAUACUGUUACUUAUGCAGAGUGCCUUUCAAACGGUGAUAAAGUUUCUUCGAUUGAGUUCAAUCCCAAUGCACUCCAUAGAAGAUAUGUUGCACUAUUAUGGGACUAUGGUAUUCGAAAACAGGAAGCGAAUGCACAUAGUGAUUUCGAAACACCCUUGAGGUCUGUUAGGCAAAGCAGAAUAACUAGUGUCAUUGAAGUUUUAGAUUUAUGAUGGCUAAUGAUUUCUUAAUUGGAUAGGUAACAAACUGAUAUAUGGAUGUGGUUUUAGAUGUAUUUCUGUUUUUUGAAUUGUUGCAGAUACAUUGAUUUUGAACUGCAUAUGUAUAUAGUAUUUUAUUAUGGUGUUCAGUAGUGACAUUUAACUCUAAAAUACAUAUUCAGUUUUUAAUUUUGCUUUAUCAAAUUUAUAUGCAGUGUUCAGACUGCAUAAAAAUGCAUUUAUGAUAAAAAAUACAUAUAAGUUAAAAAUACAUACAAGUUAAAAAUACAUAUCAGUUAAAAAUACAAAUGAAUUAAAAAUACAUAUACAGUAUUAAAAAAAUAUAUUCGAUAAAAAUACAUAUAUGUUGCUAGAAAUACAUGCGAGUUGUAAAUUCAAAAUACAUAGUUAGAUUUCAGAUGUUGUGCAUAUAUACAAAUAAAGUAUUCAGAUUUAUCAAUGUUCAUGUAUCAAAUGUCUUAACACAAAAAAAUUAAGUUCAUUCUAGCUAAAAAUGCAGAAGAAUGCUUUAAGAAAUAAUUUAGAUUACAAAUACAUAUACAGUAAUCAAAUUUUGAUAUAAAAAUACAUAUGCAUUACACACAAUAUGUAUUUUUCAAUGCAAAAUAUCACAUGUAUGGAAUCAUUGCUAAAUUAAUAUGAAACUAUUUAGAGUAGUUGAGAUUUUAAUGCAAAAUGUGACAUCUGAAUUAUUUUGAGAUUUAAUAUAUUUCAGAUAUCAUUUUGAUUUAUAUGGUGAUAAAUAUACAUACGACUGUUAACAAUAAAUAUGAGUAAAAAAUACAUAUUCAAUGUUAAAAAUACAUUUGAGUUACGAAAACAUAUUUAGUGUUUAAACUAAAACUUAGUUGUAUCUACAAAAUGAAAACAUAGUGUUCAGAUUCUGCGAUAUAUACAAAAACAGUAUUCAAAUGUAACAAUGUUAAUAUAUCAAAUAAGGCAUAAAUGUAUUAACACAAAAACAUGAGCUCAUUCUUAUUAAAACUGUAGAUGAAUGCUUCAAAACAUAACGCAGAAAAACAAAUGUUCUAUUUACGAUAUUUUUUACAAAAAGCCUAUUGUGACCCUUAGCCCUACAAGAACUGCAUGAGUUGAUGCUCUUAUUUCCAAACAUAUCCUUGCUUGAUUUUUCCUGAUCCUUCUUUAGAGGUCUUUCUGGACGACGUUUGUACUUCGGAGGCAAUACAAUAUCACCAAGUAUGCUAUCUGAAAUUAUCCAGUCAUCUUUGUGUGGUAAAAAAUAGAUUGAAAUAUCAUAUAUCUUCAACACGGCUUUAGGCUUAUACAAAUCACAAUAGUAUGGCCCCUUCUGAAAAUUCUUAUUAUCCAACACCGCACAAGCAUGUGCACAUGGUAUCUCAUUGAGUUGAAAUUCAUUACAUGAGCAUGUUCUUUCUUUAAGGCAAACAAUGAAGUGUUUUUGUUUGUCUUGCACCGUGUACACAUAUUCUGUUGUUGGAAGAACCUGAUAUUAAAAAGAUGAAAAAGAAAUGUGUAAAUGUACUAAUACAAAAAGAUGGAAAAUGUAUUAAUUGAUAUGUUGUAACCACACAAGAAAUUAUAUUUUUGCUACAUAACAAUACAUUUACAUAUAUAUUUAAUACAAACAAAUUUCAAAAAUAUUAUUAUUUGUUAAUGCAAAAUAUUUUUAUUAUUUUAUAUACAUUACUGCAUAUGAAGUUUUAUGAUUCUGCAAUAAAAAUACAUAUGCAGAAUAAAUACUAUAAUACAUAUGCAGUGUUAAGUUUUUUCCAAUACUAAAAUACAUAUAUAGUGUUAAAUUUUUUCAAUAAUAAAAUGUUAAGUUUUUUCAAUACUAAAAUACAUAUGAAGUUUUCUGAUUCUGCAAUAAAAAUAUAUAUGCAGAAUAAAUAUUAAAAUACAUAUGUAUUUAUUGAUCUACUAAAUAUAUAUGCAGUGUCAAAUUUUUUCAAUACUAAAAUACAUAUGCAGUACAUAUAAUAUGAUUUUCAAUGAAUUAACAUUUUCUGUCAUAUAUGUUUUCAUUGAUUUAGAACUUAAUUCAAGUAAUUCAAUACAUAUGCUUUCAUAAGUAUAAAUGCCACAAAUAUAAAAGAUCAUACCGUCAUACGAGUGCUCAAAGUCUUGUUCUCUGUGAGUAUGUCAUUAAAUUUCCCAAUGAGUGUGGUGAAUGUAUGUGAAGCCUCCUACCUAUUUUCACAAUUUCAUUUUUCAAAAAGCAAUUGAACUUCUUCUAAAAAAAAUCAUAAAUUGGCAGUUCUCUAGCUAAUAGAAGUAUUCCAUUUAUUGACUCAACAAUGUUUGAGGUCAAAAUUCAUCCUUGGUGAACUGUUGCAUAGGACCUAGCCCACUUUUCGUAACCAGCCAAUUUUAAAUAUUUCUUUACUCUAAUAUCAACUGCCUCAACCUUUUUCAUUAACAUGUGGAAUUCUGAUUUUAAAUAUGCUUUGGUCAUUGUAUAAAAGAUUUUCAAUAAUGCAUCAUGUGACUUUCUGUAAAGUUUUUUCACGUUCCUCCAUAGAUGUCACAUACAUGCAUAAUGCGGAACAUCUUUGUACACAUCACCAACAACCUUUAUGAUGCUUGGAUUCCUAUCAGAGACAACACACAUGUUUUGUCUUUUCCUGUACGCUUUCUUUAGAUUUUUAAAAAACCAAGUCCAAGAGGCAUCAUUUUCAGAAUCAAUCACACCAUAUGCUAAAAGAAAUAUAUUCCCUAUAUUUAUAAAUAUAAUUAGUGCAGUCUGAUAUAAAUACAUAUAGUAACUGCAUAUGUAUAUAUUAUAACUACUGAUCAAUAGAACUGUUUAUUUUAUGAAAGUAAUAGUACCAAUUAUAUAUAAUAAAAUGUAAACGCACAUUACAACUAAACAUUAUCAAUUUUACAUGUUUCAUACAACAAACUUUGAAUAUAUAUGUAAGUUUAAACAGAUAUGUAUAUAUCAAAUAGACAUUUGUAUUUCACAGUGAUAUGCAGAAAUACAUAUCAAAACACAACCAGUUUUACAAUGCAAUAAAAUGAUACAAACCUACUCCAUCCAUCGUACAUACUGUUAUAAAUGCUCCAGUAUACAUUCCUCUCAGAUGACUAGCAUCAACAACUACUACAGGUCUACCAUGAUCGAAUCCUUUAAUGAAUAUACAUAGAGUGAUAAAUGCAUACAAGAACUCAUUCUCAUCCGCCUUCUUCAUUCUUAUAUGUGACUCAAGAUAGGUAUUAUUCAAAAUAUAUAAGUAGGUAAUUUCUCGUAAGAUGCUAAUGGCUUACCCCUCAACUCUUCUAACGCUCUUUCCUUGGCCCUCGAACAUAAAGUGUAUGUCAAAUUCAUACCAAUCUCUUCCUUUAUGUCAUUUUUUAUUUCGAUCGCACUGUAUUUUCGUUUGUGAUUUUUUAAUUUCUGUUUAACCAUACCACCUAUCAACAUACUAGUAGCAUGUACCUUUGGAUAGAUCUCUUGUCCUUCACCGAAAAAGUAUGUUGAGGUAUUAAUUCUCUUAUUCUAAACAUUUCAGAUUCUCCCAUACCGGAUGCACGCAUUAAAAAUUUGCACUUUCAUGAUUUGCAAAUCAAUGUAUAACUGCAUCCAACAUAAUUUAAUGCUAUCAAUAUACAUAUUCAAACUUAUUUUUAAACAUGAUCUAAAUGAUAUAGAAUGUACGUACCAUUUUUUACUUGACCUUUCACUUCACGUUUGAAUUUUUUUCUUAUUCUAUAAUCCGUCAUCACUGACUUCAAAAUCUUUUUCAUCAAGUAAACCUGGUUUUCCUCAAUAUGCUUGUGAUGUGGGUCUGAGAUAAUCACCUUAACAGUAUCUAUCUCAAAUACAUCUAAUGCUUGUGUAUCUUCAGAAACCACCAGAGCUCAUUCAUUAGUUGUAUUUAUCACUGUUCGCAAGUUGUUAAAGUUGAAUCUUCUUUCAGCAACACAUAUAUAUAAACUUGCAAAGUUGCUCCCUACAAUUUUCUCCAAAAUGCUUACAUACAAAGAAAGACAAUUCAAGUCUUGUAGCUAUUUUUUUUGUAAAAUAAACACCUUUAAAUUCAUAUCAUUAUGUAUUUCUAUCUACGUUGCAUUACCAGUGAUUUGAUAUUUAACUAGAAUACGUUUGCUGGUUAAGUCCACAUUUAAGUGAGAUGUCAAAAUAUUGUGCAGCUCAACGAAUGUUGUUGUUAUGCUCAACAGUAUAGCAUCAGUGACGUAUUCUUCGUAGUUUUUUUCAUACGUCCACCUUUCAGAGUGUUUCACAAGAACUAGUAUGUUUUCCAUUUCUGACUGAAUUAACCAAAAGUAAACAGAUAUACAUAUUUCAACUAAACAAAAGUUAACUAACUUAUACAACCAACAACUACAAUCGAAAAUACUUAUUCAGAAAUAGAUAUACUCUCACAUUCCGUCAAACAAAUCUCUGAUCAACAAUAAAUACAACCAAAUACAAAAAUUCCUUCAUCAAAUACAAUAAAAACAUAAAAAAGAUCUAUUCAUAAAUACAGUUGUACACUCAAUUUUCGACAAACAAAACUGCAAAAAAACAGAAUUUGAUGAGCAUUAAAAACAGAAUUUGAUUGUAUUUUUUCUAGAUGUUCAAAUUACUAUUGCAUUAAACAUAUCUCAAAUUUUUUUUCGAAAUAGUCAUAAUAGAUUAACAUAGAAGCAGCACUGAAGAUCAAUUCAAAAAAUUUCAGCUAAUCAGCACAAUUAGCUCAGUCAAAAAUACAAUCAAAAUAACAAAAAUCGCUUUGAAAUUAAUCUAUAAUAAAAAAGAAAUAUCGAUUUCAUACAUUCAACAACAGUGAAGGAUGAAUUUACAACCAAUAGAUAAAUUGGGAAAUAUUACCCAGGGAGAAUGUAACGUUGCUUGUCGAAAUAAAAGAAACUAAUUUUUCAAAUUGAAAUUGAUCAACGAAAGACUACUGUUCAAUUGUAGCAAAUUGAAGAUUCAAAGAUAUUUGAUUUGUUUUUGUUCUUUUUUUGGAAUAAUCACGUUCUGAAAUCGUUUUUUGAAUUUUGAAUUUGAUUGUUAGCAAAUAACGAAAAACGCGUUAGUAAUGAGGAUUCAAUGGGAUUGUAAUCAUCACAGUUAAUUAAAGAUAAUUUUACCAUAUAUAGUUGAGUUAAUUAAGGCGUAGUAAAAAUUAUAUAUAUUUGUAUUUUUAUAGCAACAGUUUGCAAAAAUACAAAAUACAACUUGCUAUAUUAUGUAAUUAUGAAACUCAUAAUUAAAGGGAUAAGUAUGUUAUUUCUGAAUUUUGCUCCAAAAAUUAUUAUAUGAUCCAUCAAUAGAAUUAUCAAUAUGGGUCAGGCAUGUUGGCCUGGUCUGACCCAGCCUGCAAUUUAAUAGAGUUGGACUAAAAUAUUUAUCUAAAAAUUAUACAAAUACACAAUUUAUGUUUUCAAUAUUAUAAAAAAUUCCAACUCUAUUAACAUAUUACAAAAAUCCCAACAUAUACACAGAAUGCAACGUAUAUGUUGGCUAUUUUAUGUAUAUUAAUAGGGAAAGNNNNNNNNNNNNNNNCUACUUUCAAAAGUAGGGUUGGUAUUUAUGUUAUUUAUCCAAUUUUUAUAGCCAAUUUUAGAACAGGGCUUUCUAUCCGAUCUGGAUAAGUCCUGUAGCCCAUGGGCUUGAGCAACAUAGGCUAGGCCGGUCUGUGGGCUGAACAAAAAUUAUUAAAAAUAGAAUACUACAAAUACCAAGAGGAGUUCAAACUUAUAAAUAUACUUAAACAAUCAUAAAAAAAGUAAUAUAAAUCUCUAAAUUUUAUAAGGAAUCAAAUAUGUUUGAUGAAGACAACGAGGUGGUGUUGAAUACAUCAUAAGUGUCAUGAAAGUUUUUUUUUUUGACGAGUUUAUUUUCACUUUUAAUGAAUUAAAUAUUGACUUUUUUUGGGUGUUUUUUCUGUGAUCUAUUGAAACAAAAUUAGAUUAAUAUUGUCAUUUAGCUAGCUAUAGUUACUCAUUAAUUGUUUUGUUUGCUUAUCAAUAUCUCUAUUUGAUUUGAACGGUAUUAUGUCAAAAGUUAUUUAGUUUCGUAAAUUGUUAGGAUUUCUUUUGUGAAUUUCAGACUUGAUUAACAAGAUGUAAUAUUAUAUUGUAAUUAUUUAUGUUAAUAAUAUUUAAAAAUUUAAAUUAAGAUUGUACAAAUAAUAUAUUUUUAAAAGUAGGCCUAAGGAGGCCCACAAUCCACAAAGUGAUGGAUCGGGCUUGCUGUCAUCUUGAUGAAUCAGUUCGGCGUGACCCGUCAAAUCCUAAAGAUCGUGUGGACUAGUCUGAAUAGGUCGAGCUGGCUUGUAUUGAUAACUCUAUCCAUCCAUAAUACGAAAAAAUAUUUUUUAGGGUUAUGUAUUACAAGUGUAUUUUUAUCUUUAGAUACUUUAUCUACAUAUUGCUAAUACAUGUAUUAUACUUGAUUUACCUUUUAUUUUAGUAUAUGAAAUAAUGAAAUAGUACAUAUAUUUUUGUAUAACUUAUACCAAUUUUAGUUAUGUAAUAGGUUCAUUUUCAAUAUUAAAAUUGACAUAAAAAAGCGAAAAUGAUAUUAAAGAAUACUGCUCUAUAUAUCAAAACUGCAUGACUUAUGAUAGAACCAAUUUGAAUUGAAAAAGACGAUAAUACCAAGAUUUUUUGUACUUUUUUACCGAUUUCAUAUGACAUAUUUGAAUAAUCUCACGUUAUAUAAGUAAUUUUUAUUAUUAUUAUUUUUAUAAUGAGUUAUAAAAUCCUUCUUCCUUUCAAUCAUGAAUUAUAUGACUGAUACUAUAACGAAACUGAUGACGAAAGAAAAAAUUGGGAACAUUAACCUUCUAAAAAGGGUUUGUUUAAUAUUCAUAAACAGCUCAGCAACAGUCAAUAGCCAGACAAGUGAGGUAUGAUAGGAUGAAUCACAAAGUUUGAAUAAAAUCAAAUUUAAAGCUAAACCUGAACGUUGACUAGAAGAUAUAAUGAAAUAUAAAAUUAAUCAGCAUUUUUUAUUUUUUAUUUUUAAAAAUCAAAAGAAAUAAUUCAAGCCCUUAUUUUAAUUUUUCUGAUUGUAAUAUAUGAAUUAGUUGUAUGAGGAUUAAUAUUCCGACCACAUUUGAUAUUUUAUCUGUUUUUCUUGUUUUAUUGAAUUUUAUUAAAGUUAUUGACACUGAUGUAUGAUUUUAUUUUGUUAGAAGCAUCAACAGGUGCCUUAAAAAAAAUUCUCCAUCACUUUACCAUGCCAACUUGUUGCCUUCUGUGCGUCUUCUUUUUGUUUUUGUUGCCUCCACUUCUUUAAUGGGAGUCUAGGUGAGAUGUUUCUAUCCCUAGCUACUUUGUCAAAUAUAUAUCUGUUCUAUUAUCUUCCUCGUGAAAGAUAUCGUCGCUCAAAUUAAUAGUAUAAGCAUUAGUUGAGUUAAAUCUUGACGCUAAAAACUCCGAUUUAUUCUUUUUUGUAAUUAUAUUUUUAGACACAAAUACUGAAGCUUUUGAACUUAAUUUGGCAUUAAAAAAAAAAAAAAAAGAUAAAACAUGCUCCUGUCAUCAACCAAAUCAACCCACUUAGAAGCAUUGAUCUUUUUUUUUUUUUUACUAAUCUCACAUAAUAUAACUAACUCUUUUUUUUAAAUAAAAAAAAUGAGUUGUACAAUCCUUCUUUCCCUCAAUUAUGCAUCAAACAAAAGUACUCCCUCCGUACCAUUUUAUAUGUCGCCAUUUGACGGGGCACGGAGUUUAAGAAAAAAAGAAAAAUUUGGUAAAGUUUAUCAAAUUAUUCUUUAUAAAAAAAAUGUGUCAAUAUCUUUUUUUUAAUUAAGUGGGAUCAAUAAGGGUAAAAGGGUAAUUAUAUCUUUAAAAAGUUGUCUAAUAAAAUAAGACGACACUUAUUUUGAGAUGAAUUAAAAAGAAAAUAAUGACACAUAAUUUGAGACAGAGAGAAUAUAAUAUUUGUAUCCAUCUGCCCAAUUGUUACAACAAACAGCUAGCCCCAACUAUAAACUAUCCACUUGGAUUGUGAUAUGUGUGAGUGUUUUAAUUUGUCACAUCAUAGUUCAAGCCUCUAGGUCUGAACUGUGCAUGCAUGCACUUCUAUCUAGCGGUGGACAUGGAAUGAUACGAUCUAAUAUCAGAAAUAUCGGUUGGUUUGAUAUUUUAAAGUUUGAUUUUUUAAUAUUUUAUAAUAUAAUAAAUUGAUAAUCAUAGUUUGAUUAGCUGUAACAUAUGUAUACUUAUAUAAUAGAGAAUUAUGACUUUAAUUUUUCAAGAAACAUCUUAAUUAUAUCAUAUUAACACCUUAUACAUAUAAAAAUAUUCAAAAGAAAGCACAUGUAAUUUCCUUUCAAAUACUAUAAUAUCAAAUUUGCAAUAUAAAAUAUGUUGACCUCGAAAUGAUUUCUAUAUCUAUAUAUUGUACCAUGUCCGUUCAUGCUUCUAUCAAAGGAGAAUUAGAUUUAUAUAAUCUCAACAAUAUCUUUCAUCAAAUCAACCAUCAAAUCAACCGUAAAUCAACAAUAAAUGUCUUUUAGACACAUUUAAAAAAUUUUCAAAUUCAAGUCAUAUUAAUAUUUCUCUUUCUUCUUUUUUUUCUUUCUAUUUUCACCCUUUCUUGAUUUGAAUAGACAUAAUGAUGUGACUUUUAAUUUGGUCUUCAUCGAUAUUUAUGCUCUUCAAUUUUAUAUGUAUAUAAAUAAAUAUUUAAAUUUAUAUAAAAUUAAAUAAAUAGUACAAUUUAUGUGAUAAUUCACGUGAAAUUAUAACGUAAGUGUGAUGUACAUAUUACAGAGGAUGCAUGCGUCAAUUUUUAUCACUUUACAUAAGUAUUUACUUAUACACAUUUAAAAGUAAAAAAAAAAAACAUAUUGGAUAAUUGAGUCCAAAUUAAAGAGAAUGGUCAUGAAUUAUACCUUUUUUAAUAGUAUAAAUAAUAUAAAUAUCAAUUUUUUUGGAAGUAAUUACACUCUCUUCUAUUUUUUUAAUUACUACUUUACUCUCUCUCCCUAUUAAUAUACAUAAUAUAGCCGAUAUAUACAUAACAUUUUAUGUAUAUGUUGAAAUUUUUAUAAUAUAUUUAAAGAGUUGAAAUUGUUUGUAAUAUUAAAAAUAAAUUGUAUAUUUGUGUAAUUUUUAAUUUUUAAUAUGGGUAGAUGAGGACAAAUUGGAGUAAUAGCUAGCUUUGAUAAAGAAACAAAAUUGGUCAAAAAUUACAAAGUAAAUACACGUGAAUAUCACAUGAAAAGUAUGUGUCCUUUUUCCCAAUAUCUUCAAUUCAUUUAUUAUUUGGCCACGUGAACACUUCAUUCAGUUCGAAGAACUUUGGCUAAAAGUUAAAACUACAAAUGGGACACACUCCGUAAAUUUUUGGUUCUGGGACAACUUCGUUUAGGGGUUGUUUGGUAGAGUGCAUUGGCAAAAUUAAUAUAUGUAUUAAUUAAUGUGUAUUAUUAAUAUCUUAUUUGAUAUAACUUAAUUAAUGUAUUAUAUAUUUUAUUGUGUAGUAAGAUGUGUAUUACAAAUAUCAUCCAUUUUUUAUAUAUUAGUAAUGCAAAGCCUUUAUACAUGUAUUAACUUAUUAAAUGACCUUAAUACCCCUCAAUUUUCCUCUCAAAAUAUUUUACUAUUUCUUUUCCCGUCAUUUUAAUUUGCAAUAAUGAAUCUUUUCAAAACAUUUCACAAUUUUUUUCCCACCAUUUUAUUCUACAACAAUGAAUAAUUGAUUUAAAUAAUUAUAACAUAUUUUUGUUUUGCUUCGAGGGUCUUUAAAAAGAUUAAAAAAAAUUAAGACUAUUUCUUAAUUUUUCGUGUUAUAUUUUAUUUUUCUUUCGACUAUGUUAAUCCGUUGGUAUAAUAUUUUAUGCGUAAAGACGAAGGUCUUGCAAUUAAUCUGAAACUUUUAUAUACUAGUUCAACAAUACUAAUUAUAUUUGAGAUGACAAAAAAAUUUUGUUGCAAAAAAAGUGUGUAAAAUCAAAGAAGAGUAUUUUUGUAAACAAACAUUUCUUUUAUAGAAAUUAUAUAAGAUGUAUUAUUUCUUCUACAUCAAACUAAACAAUAUAUAAGAAAUAAUACAUACAUAACUAAUACAAGUAUUAGUAUUACUAAUAUACUAUAUUUUGCAUUAAUCUUAUACAUUCUUUCAAAUGAUCCCUUAUUAUACACUAGAAUACAACUUGUCACUUAAAAUGUCACAAUGAAUGUUUCUAGAAUUUUUUUAUUUAAAUUUUUUUAAAAUUCAUAUUAAAACAACUAGUAAAUGUUAUUAUAGGGAAAGCCAAGAAAAAUGGUAGCACUUUUUACAAGAAAGAGAUUACUCUUUAAUAUCCUAAUAUUAUUCAAAAUCUAAAUUUGACACCAAAAAAAUCCCGUGCAGCUCUUAGUUCUUACUCCUAAUAAUUCAUGAUAAUAAAAUAUUCAAGGUUUACAUAAUGUGUUAAUAUUGACAAUAGUAUUGAAUUUGUCACUUUAAAAGAUAGUGAAUUUGGAUCCAUGAUUUUCAACUCCCAAACACUUUAGAAAUUGUUCGAAAAAACAUGUGAUAAGAGAAAAAAAGACUAAACAUAUGGAGGAUUAAAAAAAGACUUUAAAAAUAUAUGGGACGGAGAAUUAGUGUUAGUAGUUGUUCAUUCAACAUAUAUAAUGCAAAUCACAAUAAACACAAAAUUGGGUGUUUUGGUCAAACGAAAUCAAUUAUUAUUUAAAUAUUGUUGUAAUAUUGAUUAUAAUAUUUAAAAAUUAAGGAGUUUUAAAAUAUAUAAGAAAAAAAUAUAUUAAAAAUGAAUAUUGAUAGAUUUUUUUUUAAUGUGAGAAAAGGAGUCUUAAAACAUAUAUGAUAAGACUAAAAAAAGAAAAUAUCAAUUUUUUUCCAUCAAAACAAAAAAUUAGUACUUAACUUAGACGUGGAUUUAAUAUAUGUAAGAGUAAAAAGGAAAAUAUCAAUUUUUUUCCAUCAAAACAAAAAAAUAGUACUUUGUAUUUAACUAUGGCAUGAAAUGGUGCUUUCCAUGGAAAUUAACAAAUAGCAAUAGACGAUUAUGGACAAUUUUUUAAAAGUAUUCUUUAAUUUAGGAAAUCCUUCAACUAUUACUUUUUUUUAGUACAUCUACAUUAUUACCUUCAUUAAAAGUUUUUUAAAAUAGAUAAAAUUAUCUUUUUAUUAUUUUAUUUUAUUUAAUUAUAUUAAUAAUAUUAAAUAUUGAUUAUAAUUAAUGAAUCUAAGGUAAGAUGUAUAAGAAUAAUUAAGGUAGACUUCUUUUUUAUUUAUAAAUCAUAUAUGUCCUAGUUAUUUUAUUGGAGAAAAUUGAAAGUGUUGUAGUAUAAACUAUAUUUUGGUUACAUAUAAGUGUCCUUUUUAGGCAAAGUGUUUUAGAAAUUCUUUUUGUGUAUGAAUCAUACACGUCUUAAUAAUUCCUCGAAAAAAGUAAAGAAGUGUCGUAGGGUCUUAUUUAAUUACUAGUUUAGGUGUAUACGGCUCGCGCGUGUACCUCACUUUAUUGAGUUCACACGUUAUACUAAAUAAGUUUUUUGUUAAAUAAUAAAGAUGAAUACAAUAAUUAAAUUCAACAUCUUUUGGAGAAUUUAUUUAAUUAAAUCUAACCUUUACAAAAAAAAUUGUCAAAGUCGAUCGACAUUCAUCUACCACCUGUAAACUGCAACAAAACAAUACGAUGAUAGAAACAUCAAAACAAUAUAAUUAAGUCUAACCUUUAUACAAAUUUUUUUCUCUAAGUCGUCCGACACUCAUCUACCAUUGUAAACUAUAACAGAAUAAUAUGAUAAUAAAAAUAUCAAAAUAAUACAACUAAAAUUAAUCUCUACACAAAAAAAUUCUCAAAAUAGAGAUAUAAAAACAAUACAAUUAGACCUAACCUUUACCUACAAAAAUUUCUCAAAGCCGAGUAAAUUAAUUGAAUGAAAAUAAAGAAAAUAUAUAUGCACACACGUUGAACUGUAUUAUUAAGCAUCUACCAAUCUAGAGCAUCAAUCAUAUUUUUUCAAUAAGUAAAUCGAUUUCUUCUCUAGUUUAACGUGCAUCUCAAUAUAUUUAUAAAAGUAUUUUCUUAAUACAUUCCUAUUUUAAUAGUAUUUCUCUAUCCUAUUUUUAGGAGUAUUUUUCUAAUUAAUCACUACAAAAAAAAUAUUAACUAAUUCUCUUUUUAUAUAUUUUAGGAUUCAGGUUAAUAUAAUAUAAAAAAGAAAGUCAAACUAUUACCCAUUAAAAAUAUAGAAAUGCUUUUUAUACGAAAUUCCAACUUUUGUACUUCUUUUUAUUUUUAUAAGAGAUAAUGCAUCCCUCCGAACUUGUCUUUCCAACUUACUUUAUCACUUAAACUAACAUUUCAUUUAUUUACCCCCUUAACAUCUUUGGAGUGAAUUAAUUUCACCCCUUAAUAUAUAAUUCCACUCUCAUGAGCGAGAGUACAUCACACUCACUGACACGUCAGCGCCACGUAAAUAAAGUAUUUUUUUUAUAUUAUAUAUAUAUAUAUACAUAUAUAUUUACAUAUUUUUAAAUAUAUAUAAAAUAUUUUAAAUAUAAAAUAUUUUAAAUUUUAAAAAUAACCCCAUCCCCCAUUUUCCAUCUUCUUCAUAACCCCCCAUCCCCCCCUCUCCCGUCCACCACCACACCUGCACAUACCCCGUCCACCCCAGUUCACCCCCACACUGCCAUACCUACACACACCCUCAUCCAUCUCCGUCCAACCCCAACAUCCACAACUGCACACACACGCCAUAAUUUUUGGCGAAUUUUCGUCGAAAAACUCUAUUACCACCAUAAAAAAAUACCAUAAAAUAGUGAUAAAAAAACCCAACACCUGGUAAAUUAGAUCAAAUCAACACCAAAUUCUCUAAAAUCAACAACCAAACAUUCAAAUCAUGUCAAUUUUUUAAUUUUUAAAUUCAAUUUCAUUUCUUUUUUUAUUGGGGAUGAAGGAGGAGAAAUUGGAAGUAGGGGUGUGAUUUGGUAAUUGAAGAAGUAAUUGGGGUUAGAUUUAGGAGGGGGGUGUUGGUGGUGGUUGUUGGCGGGUUUGGGAGGGACUAGGAUGGGGUGGGAUGGCCGGGGUGGCGGGGGGAGGAGUGUUAGAAGAAGGAGAGAAAUAUAUAUGUAUAUAUAUAUAGAUAUUAGUAUUUUUUAAAAAAAAUUACCGUUCACGCAUUUCUUUUUCUUUUUUUUUUUUUAAAUGUCAUGUCAGUAUAAGGUGUGAAAAUAAUUCAGUUGAAAGAUGUUAAGGAAGAUAAAUAAUUAUUCAUAAAAUUUAAGUACUAAGUGAGUUGGAAAGAUAAGUUUAGAAGGUUUUGAUGUAUUAUCUCUAAAAUUAAAAACAAAAGAAAAAUGUGAAGCCAUAAGAUGACCUUGACCUUCCAUUCUAAUUACCAUACCUAGGAGAAAAGGCUAGAACCUGCCCUAUGGGAUAUUUAAUUUCCAUUUCUUGUAGGAAAUAUUAUGUGCAAAAGUGCCCAAGUUUUCAAAAGUUACCUUCAAUAAACAAAGAUGUAAAAGAACCUUUUUCCAUAUAUUUUAGGAGUCUUUAAUUCAAAUACAUUUCUUUCUAUAUAUUUUAGGAGUUCAGUUAAUAUUAUAAAUAUAAUUAAAUAAUAAUUAUGAGAAAAAUAGUGAAAAGACAAUUUUGUCAAAAGCAAAGACUUUUAAUAAAGGGUAAAAAGUUCAAAUCAUUUUUCUAAGGAUUUUUACACUUUUAAUAUAUUAUAUUAUAUAUAGAUUAUAGAUUAUAGAUUAUAGAUAUAGAUAUAGAUAAUACUUAAUAUUAAUUAUAACUAAUGAGUUCAACAUAUCUAUCUAUAGUAUAUUAAAAGUGUAAAAGAUAUUAGAAAUGUUGUUUGAACUUUUUUUUUCCUUCAUUGAAAGUAUCUGCUUCAGACAAAAUUUUCUUUUUACUAUUUCUGCUAAUAUUAAGAAUUGAAAAAUAAUUAAGUAUUUAUAGUAAAACAUUUUCUUAUUAGAAGUUAUCAAAUUCAUCACAACUAAUUUUUUUUUCAUUAGUUUAAAAUUAAUUAAAUAUUUAUCAUAAUACUUCUCCUUUAGAAGUCAUCAGAAUUCAUGAAAGCUAAUAUUUUUUUCAUUAAUUUAAGAAUUCUAAAUCAACUAAAUUUGAUUUUAAGAAGAUUUAUCUAGAAAUAAAUAUAAAAGCGUUUAAAUAAUAAAAAUUUAGGAAAUACCAGUUUUUGCUUUAGACAAAAUCGUCUAUUCACUAUUUUUUUUUAAUAUUUAAAAGUUGAAAAUUUAUUAAAUAUAUUUGUGGUAAAACCUUUCCUUAUUAGAAGUCAUCGGAAUUAAUGAUAACUAAUAUUUUUUUUAUUAAUUUAAGAAUUCUAAUCAACUAAAUUUAAUUUUAAAAAGAUUUAAAAAAUCUAUAAACCUACAUCUACAAUCUACAUCUACAAUAUAUUAAAAAUGUGAAAACUCAUAAAAAAAUAAUAGUUGUUAUGAAAUAAUAAAGAAUAAAUAAGAAGAGUAGAGAAAGAAUAGAAAGUAAUUCUUAUUUCUCUUGCAGGAUGAAUUACAACGAAUAAAACCCCUUUAUUUAUAGGGGAAAACUAAACUUGGGGAUUUGUAACUUUUUCAUAAAUAGACAUGCACAAUAUAUGGUAAAGUAGAUAUUCACUAUAUAUAGUAAAAUAGACAUUUACUAUAUAUGGUACAUUUAUAACACUCCCCCUUGAAUGUCUAAUUGAUAGAUAAUACGCAUAUAUGUUGCUUCAUUAAAAACCCUACAAGGAAAACCCAGUGGUAUAAAACCUCGUAAGGCAAAAAGAGUACAGCGCGUAUUAACUCCCCUUAAUGAGAACAUUCUUGAACCUUUGCAUUCCGAUCUUGUGCACCAUCUUCUUGAAAGUUGCAGUUGGAAGAGACUUGGUGAAUAAAUCAGCCACAUCUACAAUAUAUUAAAAGUGUGAAAACUCAUAAAAAAAGUAAUAGUUGUUAUGAAAUAAUAAAUAACAAAUAAGAAGAGUAGAGAAAGAAUAGAGAGUAAUUCUUAUUUCUCUUGAAUGAUGAAUUACAACGAAGAAAACCCUUUUAUUUAUAAGGGAAAACUAACCUUGGGGAUUUGUAACUUUUUCAUAAAUAGACAUUCACAAUAUAUGGUAAAGUAGGUAUUCACUAUAUAUAGUAAAGUAGACAUUCACUAUAUAUGGUACAUUUAUAACACUCCCUCUUGAAUGUCUAAUUGAUAUAUAAUACACAUAUAUAUUGCUUCAUUAAAAACCUUACAAGGAAAACCCAAUGGGAUAAAACCUCUUAAGGGAAAAAGAGUACAACGCGUAUUAACUCCCCUUAAUGAGAACAUCCUUGAACCUUUGUAUUCCGAUCUUGUGCAGCAUCUUCUUGAAAGUUGCAGUUGGAAGAGACUUGGUGAAUAAAUCAGCCACAUUAUCACUUGAACGAAUCGGUUGUACAUUAAUAUCACCAUUCUUUUGGAACUCAUGUAUAUAGAAAAGCUUUGGUGAAAUGUACGUCGUGCUAUCUCCUUUUAUGAAUCCUCCCUUAAGAUGUGCUAUGCAUGCUGCAUUAUCUCUGUAUAAAACUGUGAGUACAUUGUCACAUUUCAAAUCACAUUUUUCUCGAAUGAGAUGUAUCAUGAACCUCAACCACACACAUUCUCGGUUUGUUUCAUGAAUAGCUAUUCUCUCAACAUGAUUCGAUGAAGUGGCUAUGAUAGACUGCUUUGUAUAUCUCUAAGAUAUGACAAUACCACCACAUAUAAACACACAGCUUGUUUGAGAUCGAGCUUUAUGUGGGUCAGAUAAGUACCCAACAUCAGCAUGUCCAAUAGAACGGAACUACAAUCUUGCUAACAAAUUAACUGAAAAGGCUAUCUCAAGCCUUAUAGUAUUUGCAAGAUAUAUGAGUACACCAAUUGCACUAAGAUAUGGUACUUCAUAACUAAUUCAAAUUGAUAUAUUUCACAUUUCAGCAAAUAAUGUAUUGCUUUAGAAAACUCUGCAAGAGUUUCAAUAAUAUUCAAACCAUCAACUUAUUCCUUAUAAGGAUAAUAAAUAAGUUUCUCGAAAACUUUAUAUGGUUUAGGCAUUCUGAAUCCUUUAGGGAUUUUCAUCUAGAUUUCUGUCAAGUGACAAUAUUCAAUAUUUCACGUGUGACAUCUUCGAGUGGACUGCAAAUCAAAUAAGUUUUAUGUUUAUCAAGAUGCAUCUUUUCAUGUCACUUAAUAAGUGUUUCUACGUCAUCAUGCUUAAAUUAACGUAGAAUUCAAAUCCUCGUAAUCUUUCACAAUAUUGCUCCAAUAUUGUAUCAAAUAUAUUGAUGAUAUUUCAUUUCGUAUCGGUUCACAGUGUGACAUAACAUUUUGAGAUCUCAUCACUUUAUUAUUUUCAGGUACCUGAACCUCUCAUAAGGUUUCAUGAAGUGUUAUGUCGUAUGCUCUUCAAGAGUACAUUGCCUUCUUAUUAUGAUUUUUUGCUCAUUAUCCUUUAUAAGAAUUAUUUCAUUUGGAAUCGAUUGGUCUACCACACUUCAUAUAUGCAUAGACUUUGUCCUUUAGGGACACAAAAUAGGAGCACUUGUAGCUUAAAUAUGAGAUAUGCAUUCGGCAUUUUACUUGAACUAUCUUUUGAAUGAGGAUAUGAUGAUAAUUCCUAAUAUAUUUCAUAGCCGCUUAUAAUCUCCCCCUUAUGUUAGGAAAACUAACAUACAUCCUCCAUUUUAUUUGAGGAAUCCAUCUUUGUGCAUCAUGGUAUAUUCAUUAAUCGUAUAUUGCACAUUAAAACUAUUAGAUGAAAUAGUUGGUUCUGACCUUAAACCAAUUGGGAGGGAAGAAAUAAUCAUAAUUUAUUGGUCUAAUGCAUACAAGUGUUAUUGUAUGCAACAUAUCAUAUUUCAGACCAACACAUGAAGUUUUGUUUUUAUUAGCAAUGAUUUAGCUAUUUAUCGAAGGCAUUCAAUGUCAAACCAUCGUCAUCAAGAUGAAUUGUCUUGAUUCUAUAAUCUAAAAGUUAUACUCUUAACUCAAUUUUAUCAAGCAAGCAACUUUAUGAAUGUCAAACUGCAGGUUGACAAUAAAUUACACAGUGAUCAUCUUAUUGAUGCAUCUUAAUAGAUCACAUGAUAGGUGAACGGGCCCUUAUUCACCCUUUAUACUUUUCAGAUUUUAAGGAAUUCAAUCCCAAAAUUAAUUGGUCCAACCAACUUAUCAUGAGAACAAACAACAUUAAAAGUAAUGAAGAAUUUUCUAAUUCUUCAAUCUAUGUUCAAUACUCAGUAUGCAUAUCUUUGGGAUAUCGCAAUCGUUCAUGUCAAUUUAUGAACUUUUAUUAGAGCAAAUUCCAAGUUUACCAUGACAUGUAAACUUUUACUUUAAUAAAUUUUAGUUUUACUAUUACAUGAAUAAAUUUCAGAUUUUACUUUAGAAUUAGAUUUCAAAAUAACUCUUCUCAAUUAUUUUGCCUCUUACGGAGGUGGAUUGUGAUUUCCUUACAACCACGAGCACGUUCAAAUUUAUAUACAGUCACAUUUACCCCCAGGGUCUAGAUCUGUAUUUAUAAUAAUCAAAAUUCUCAUUCCCGAAGAAUAGAAUAUAAUCGUUCCUUAGACAUAUCAAUUUAUGAUAGCUUAGAACCUUCUCUUUCAAGAUAUUGUUAGUUCAAGAGCAAAUCGAGGCAUGCAUAUAAUGUAGAGAAUUUUUCUCUUAACAUAUCUUUCAGAGUACAGCAUAUAUUGCUACCACAUUCACUUUAAAAAUGGAGCAAAUUGUCAUCUUUCAGACUAAUCAUAUAGUGCUACCGCAUUCACUUCAAGAAUGGAGCAAUUUGACUUAUCAUAUAUUGCAACCAUAUUCACUUCUUGGAAUGGAGCAUAUUCAGAGGGAUAGAUUCAUGUCUAUUUAUCAAAAAUACAUUAUUUUGCCUUAGUCAUCGUUAUAUUAUCAAUAUGGUGUAUUGAGAUUCAAACUCAACGUCUUAUUCAUAUAAAAGCGUCUUAUGCAUAAAUCGAUGGGACUUGAACCCAUGCAUGCAUUCAUAUCGUACUUUUGGGAGGAUGACCAUCUUCAAGUGGUCAAAUAUUUCUUUUAGGCUAUUCCACAAAACAAGUGGAUCCUUAGUAGUAAGGUAUUCAAUUUUCAGAAUUUCGUCAAGAUGAUGACGCAACAAAAUCAUAGCCUUAGCAUGAUUUUAAUGAGAUGUUGUAUUUUUUUCUUAUGGCGUCUCCAAGACCCAUAACAUAUAAGUGGAUUUCAGCAUUCAAUACUCAUUAAAGGUAAUUUUUACUCGAGGCAACGAACUCAGAUUUUGUAAGAUUAUUAGUAAUAUGAAAAGAAAGAAAAUAAUACCUUAGCCUUCAAAUUUGAUACGACAGAGUCUCGUACUGAUAGCGUGUUAUGAAAUAAUAAAGAACAAAGAAGAAGAGUAGAGAGAGAAUUGAGAGUAAUUCUUAUUUCUCUUGAGGGAUGAACUACAAUGAAGAAAAUCGCUUUAUUUAUAGGGAAAAACUAACCUUGGGGUUUGUAACUUUUCCAUAAAUAGACAUACACAAUAUAUGGUAAGGUAGGUAUUCACUAUAUAUGGUAAAGUAGAAAUUCAAUAUAUAUGGUACAUUUAUAACAAUAGUUUAAAACUAACUAAAAUUUGAUUUUUACAAAGUUGCCCAAAUAUUAGUAUAGCACGUGUUACUACUAUUUAUGAUGUGUAUUGUUUUUGCUUCGUAUAGAAUUAAAACUUGAUUUAUUUACUUUACAAAACUGCUUUUUAUUUCUUCUUUUUUGUACUUCUUUUAAAAAAUCAAAGUUGGUUUGGGAUUUUUGCUUUUAAAUAAGUUAAUAUUAUGCAUUAUUUAGGUUGGGACUUUUUAUUAAGUCAAUUAUACAUUAUUUAGAUUUUUUGAAGUUAAUUAAAGUUCUUAUUUCAUCUACAAGAACUCACAGUAUUUAAUACUUCUAAAUCAAUUAAAAUUUCACCUUAUAUAAAAAGAACUUUUACAACUCUGUUUAAGUGAUAUUUUCAAUCAAAUUUUAUAAGAAACAUAAACAUUGGCUAUUUUAUUUUUUAUUUUCUUCUUAUUUUGAUUUUGAUUCAAGUCAUAUUAUUACGUUCAUUGUCAUCAUCAUAGUUUUUUUUCUUUAUUUGAUUUUCAGUUCACUUACUUCUUUCUCUUUGUUUUUACUUUUCCAGGUUCCAAAACAUGCGUAGGGUAAAAAUAAGUUUAUGUAUAGAAUUUUCUUAUUCAAUGAAAUCUUGAUAGUAUCUAUGAUUAAGACAAUAAAUUUGUUUGUGAUUUAAGGUAAGUUUUUAAAAUUUUUAGUAUAUUUUUAAAGUAUACGAUAAAUAAAUUAUCAUCUAUUGUUGAUAAAAAACUAUUAAUUGAUAAAUAUUUUGUGAUUUUUAUUUUUAAUGACUCAUGUGCAAUUAAUAAUUUAAAAUUAACUUAUUUGCAAUUUUAAAAUCCUAAAAUAUAUAGUAAGAAAGACAAUAUUAUCAAUAGUGUAGGUAGAUUUUACGUGAAAAAAGAACUCCUAAUUCUAUUGUUUCACGAACUCUAUGUGUACGCUGCAUAUGUUUAAGCUCAAAUCUGAGAUGUCAAAAUACGUUUCUUAAGAUUAUCCUUCAAACCAGUCCCAAACCAGUCAAAAAGUUGUCCACAACAAUAACCUGCACAAUUAUAAAGAAGUUUCUCACUGCAUAAUAAGGUGGAUCCAUAAGGGCAUCAUUCUAUUAGCUGAUUUUAUUUUACUCUAUUAAGCAUUCACUCGGAAGACCCAUGAAAACACUAAAAGUAUUUCCAUACACAAACCCUAGGGGUGGGGUGGGGGGGAUAAGAAAUAAAUAAUAGGAUUAUAAGUUAGAAGAUACCGAUGAGCCGAUAGAUGAUUGAAAGUUAGAACAAGAAGUUACCUCAUUCUUCUCAUUCUCCAUCAGUUUGUCGACUAGGUGAGAACCAAUAAAUCCAGCUCCUCCAGUAACCAAAAGUUUCAUUUUAGAAUGCAACCAGAAAUAAAAUAUUUUAGCAGACGUGGAUUAAUCGUCUUUUCACUAUUUUUCUAAUAUUUAAGAGUUUGAAAAUUAAUUAAAAUACUUAUAGUAAACAUUUUCUUAUUGGAAGUCAUCACAAUUAGUUACAACUAACACAUUUUUCAUUAGUUUAAAAAUUCUAAAUCAACUAAAACUGAUUUUAAUAACCAUUGAAAAAUAUAGAAAUAAAUAUGAAAUCAUUAGCAUAAGAAAAUACAAGAAAUAUCAAAUUUGUAAAAGUUUUAAGUAAGUAAUCAAAGAUUUUCUAAAGAUAUAAAUUUAAAAAUAAGAAAAGAUUUUAAAUAUAGAAAAAAUAAAAAAAAUAGCCGUAAUAUAAAUAUGAUUUAAACCGGUGCGUCUCUCUUAGCCCCUAGUAGCAAGGAAAAGAUGUACUGCAUGACAAACGCAAAAGUACCAUUAACCACUUGAAACUUCUACGCGGUAAAAUAUAUAUGGGCUUACAGUAUCAUUAAGAACCUUCGUAAUACACAAAAUCAUGUAAUUUCAAAUCAUCAAAAGUUACAUGUGCGAAGCAUGUGCGGCUAAACUAGUAUACUAGACAUCAAAGGGAUAUCUGUUAUUUUUCUAUCUCAGUUUAUGUGACAUAAAUAUAAUUGAGAUAAUUAAUCAUAAUAAAUUAAAUUUUUUAUUAUUAUAAUUUAUAAUUUUUUUUCUAUUCCAAUUUAAGUAAUACUAAUAUAAUUUCGAGAGUCAAUCGAAUAUUUUAUAUUUUUUAUAUUCUAAAGUUGUUAAUUAUGUAAUUUAUAAAGCUUUUAACAUAAUUUUUUAAUAAGAUAUUAAUAUUACUUCUCUGUCUCAGUUUACGUGUCUUCUUAUUUUUAAAUAAUAUUAGUUUAAGUAUACGUGCCUUGCGCGUGUACCUUACUUUAAUGAGUUCAAACAUUACACUAAAUACAAUAUUUAUUUAAAUAAUAAAAAUAAAUAUAAUAAUUAAAUUUAAUAUCUUUUGAUUAUGUAAAUAUGGAGAAUUUAUUUAUUAAACUUAACCUUUACCGAAAAUAUUUUUAAAAGUCGAUCGACAUUCAUCUACCAUCUGUAAAUUGCAACAAAAUAACACAAUGAUAGAGAUAUCAAAAUAAUACAAUUAAAUCUAAUCUUUACGCAUAAUUUUUUUUCCAAAGUUGUCUGACACUCAUCUACCACCUGUAAACAGUAACAAAAUAAUACGAUAAUAGAGAUAUCAAAAUAAUACAACUAAAACUAACCUUUACAUAAAAAAAUUUCUCAAAGCCGACAAAUAUUUAUCUAUCACCUGUAAAUUGCAACAAAAUAAUACGAUAAAAGUGAUAUAAAAAAUACAAUUAAACUUAAAUUUUACACACAAAAAUUUUUCAAAGCCGAUCGAGAUUCAUCUACGAACUGUAAAUUACCACAAAAUAACAAACUAAUAGAGAUAUUAUGAUAAUACAAUUAAACCUAGCUUUUACCUAGAGAAAAAUUCAAAGCCGGCCCAUAUUCAUCUAGCAUCUAUAAAUUAAAAUGAAAUAAUAAGAUAAUAAAAAUAUCAACCGACAUUCAUCUACGACUUGUAAACUAUUUAAAAAAAAUAAUAUAAUAGUGAUCACAAAGCUUCGAUCUUGAUCCAACUAAUUCUUGUCUGAACAAAAAUUUUGACCCUAAAAAAUGAUUUUAAAUGAAAACAAAGAAGAUAUAUAUAUAUAUAUACUAGUUUAACGUACAUCUCAAUAUUUAUAGAAGUAUUUCCUUAAUAGAGUCCUAUUUUAGGAGUAUUUUUCUAAUCGAACAGUAGAAAGAAAAAUAUUAAUUAAUUCUCCUACCAUAUAUUUUAGGAGUUCCAUAUAUUUUAGGAAAUCUAAUAGAAAAUAAAAUAUUAAUUAAUUUUUCUACCAUAUAUUUUAGGAGCCCCAUAUAUUUUAGGAAGUCUAGUUAAUAUAAUAAAAAUAAUUAAAUAAUAAAUUAAAAAUAGUGAAAAAAUAAUUUUGUCUAAAGAAGAGUCUUCUAAUGAAGGCAAAAAGUCCAAAUCUCUUUUCUAAGAGUCUUCACACUUUUGAUAUAUUAUUAUAUGGCUAUAUAGAUUAUAGAUAUAGAUAUAUUACUUUAUGUCUUUUUUGUUCCAUCGUAAUUUAUAUGACACUAAUAUAUUUUUGAUAGUCAACUGAAUAUUUUAUGUUGACAUAUCAUUUUGUGUCUAUUUUACUUUUUUUAUGAAAUAUUAUUAAUUUUUUUAUGCUUAAAUAACCAUAAAAAUUAAUUAGGAGUGAUAUAAUAAUAUCACGAUUGAAACAGCGAAGCAGACAUGUCUUAAAUGACUUAUAAUAACUAAUAAGAAGUGAUAGAACAAAAUUACUAUAAAAAAUACUUGUGAAAAAAAUUUAAAUGAAUCUCAUAUAAAAUAUCAAGUUAAUUUAAAACAUCAAGAGUUGAUUUAUCAUUUUAUGUCUAAUUUAUCCUUUUUAUUAAAUAUUAUUAAUUUUUUAAUACUUAGGUGACUUAUAAUAAUUAACUAAAGGUGAUAUAGUAAAAUUACGAUUGAAGCAGUGAAGAAGGUAGCAUAAAACAUCAAGAGUUAAUUUAUCAUUUUAUUUCUAUUUUAUUUUUAAUUAAAUAUUAUUAAUUUUUGAAUACUUAAACGACUUAUAAUAAUUAAUUAGGAAUGAUACAGGAAAAUUAUGAUUGAAGCCGGUAGCACAAUCAAAUAUAUCGACCUCGUGCCUGCUUGUUGCCCUUUAUUAUUAGUAUUAGUAUUUUAAUAUUUUCCUCAAAAGUUUAUGUUGAUUUUCUUUGGUCAUGUGUGUCGACAAAUGUAGAUUCCUAUAUAUUUUGAUAAUUUUUCAUAAGAUAUUUGAUAGCUAUUUUGAGGCUCGAUUAAUUCAAUUGAGCUGAAAGGUUUUACUACUAAAAAUAAGAAAUACAAAACGCUUAUAAUUUUACUACAAUUUUUGGUGGUGCAUUGACUAAUAUAUGAGCAGUAGUCUAAUUUAAAUUGUUAGAAAAAAUAUAUUUCUAUUAUUUAAUUAUAUUCAAAAUAUGCUUACUCAUAUGUUAGGUCUGAUUUUUUUUCACGAGUCAAAUAUACAUAAAAAAAAUUUGAUAAUGUUUGUCGAUAAGAUUUGAUUUCAAAAUUUCUACCUAUUCUGAAAUCAUAUUGAAGUGUGUGAGCAUCUCAAUCUCCUAUUCCAAAUAUAUUUUUUUUCAUUACUAGUAUUAGUACCCGCAUGAUGCGCGGUCGAUAUUAAAUGAAAUUAAUUAUAAAUAUUAUUAUCUUAUUGAUUUUAUAUAAUAAAAAAUUUAUUCAAUAUCAUUCACAUAUUUGAAAUUAAUAAAUUUAUGCAAUACGAAAAAUAAUUAUUAAAAUAUUAAAUUUAAUAUCAUUAAUUAUAUAAAACUUAAACAUUUCUUUUCGAAAGUUAAUAUCCGCGUGCAAAUAAUAUUAUAUUAUAAUAUAAUUAUUUGAGAAUAUUAAUAAUAUUGUGAUCUAUAUUGAUUUAUUUUGUAAAAAAAAUCAUAUGAUUACAAAAGAAAAUACAUAUUUAACAUAAUUAUUAUUAAUUAAGUGACUUACUUCUAAGUUUAGUUAGAAAAAUAAAGAACUAAUGAAAGAUAUGCUUUAGAGUUAUGCACGUGAAGCUUCUUUGUAAAAUUUUAACUUGAAAUUUAAAUUCUUUUAUAUUAAAUAUUUCAAUUUGCACCCUUUUAUCAAGAAGAAGAAAGGAGUUCCCCUUCUCUUUUCUUGUCUUAAUAGAUUUUUCUUUCAUAGUAGAUUUUGGAUUCCUUUGCACGAUCUUAGCCAUAGUAUAUUUUUGAUAAAUUUAAAAUAUUUUUGCAUCAAGACAAAUAUUUUGAGCAAAGUCUCGAUAAUAGUCAAUUUUUUCUCUCUCAUAUUUUUUUAUUAUCAUUUUUUCAACAAAUAACUUAUAACAUUAUCUAAAGUCCUAACAUGUUUGCACGAUUUCACAAUGUUCACUUAUUCUCUUAUGAUAAUAGACCAACAAAUAUUAAUGAAUCUCAUUAUAUAUUAUUUUUUUGAAUAAAAGGUUUAGUUCUUCAUAGGUUUGAAUACUUACUCUUCAACUCUAUUUUCGAUCAACCCUAUCAUACUUUCUCAAUUUACUCAACUUGAAUGAAAUUAUAAAUAUUAAUCACUAUCAAAAUUGAAUUCCCUCCUAUCUUAGAACAUUCAACUAAUACUUAACCCCUCAUGUUCAUCAGUACAAUAAGAUAUUAAUCUUAUUCAUCUUUAUCCUUUAUAUUGUACAAAGUAGAUCAAAAUAAUCAUUGUACCAAAAGAUCUACAAUAUUCUAAAAUUAGAGUUACAAAUACAAAGAUAAACAUGGUUGAACUCAUUGUCUGUUUAUAUCGACUAAAACAAAAAAAAAAAAGAAAGAAAGUUUGUAGCAUAGUAUUUAUAAAUAACAAAUGAUAAAUGACCUUUACUAUCAAAUUAGUACAAUAUGCUACGUAAAAGUAAAAUAAUAUUUACAGUAAGAAUUUAAAUAUAAUGAAUUUGAAAAAAUCAAUAUUCGUAAUUGAUUUAUUGAAUUUGAGCAUUGCCCAUUGGGCAUCAGCCACAAGAUACUCACUCAAAUUUUGAUCUUCGAGAUAUCGCUUUUGAGAUAGUAAUCCUAGUGUCGGAUAAAUUUUAUAGAUAGUUAUACAACUAUCAUUUUUUUACUAAGGUCACUUAACUAUCAUUCCUAAUACAAUAUCACAAAAUUUUUAAUAUACUAUUAAAAUCACACAAUUUAAUUUAUAAAUAAUUGUUAAUCAUAACAUAUAGAAAUAUAGUAUAGACAAAUCAAGUGUUAAUCCUAAUAUAUAGAAACAUAAUGGAUUAGUAAUUUAGUAUCAUAGUUUAUUAAUUUUUGAAAUCAUAUUAUUAUCUCACUAAAAUCUAAAGUAACAAUAUUUGCAAUGCAAGAAAAUCAACUAUCUAAUAUCAAUAUUAGUUUCUUCAUAUUUAAUGUAUAACUUGUAAAUUUUUAUGUUAUUGCUAAAAUUCUCAUUGUACAUUUCGACCGAGAUGAAUUUUUAUAAGUCUUUAAAAAUGUAUGAAAUAUUAAAAGAUCACUAACUUAAAUCUUCAAAGAGUACAGAUUAUAUUUUUUUUUUAUAAAACACAAAGUACAUGAAUACUGACUCAUAAAUUUUUCACUAAACAUGUAGAAAAUAAAACGAAUACGCAACAUAACCUGUAUAUUUAAUUGACUUUAUAAAUCAAGAAAAAUCUAUUCUAAAACAAUACUCAAGGUAAAUUGAGAUUCUAGCGAUUAUCAGGACAAGAUAAGUUGUGGCAAAAAUCACUUGCACAAUUCAUCUUCUCCAAUAUGUUAUGGCAGAAACUAAUUAGCGUUUACUGAGUGUAUCCUUCUUAUAUAGUGGUAAAUUUUUAUGGCAUUAGAAAUUCUAGAUUAAUUGUUGUUGGUACAAUAUUUUCAUAUAUAUGAGAAUAAUUGUUAAUUGAUUAUUCAUUUUCUAUUUAUAUGUUUCAAUCAAUUUUGUCAUGCUUCCUUAAUUGACUUACAUUGAAGGAAAUCAUAAAUACUUUUUGUCAUAUAAAUAUUCAUUCUAUAGUAAUACUUUAAUUGCAUAUAUUCUAAUUUAUUAGUAACUCACACCUACAUUUCAUCAUAUAAAAAUUAUUAUAAAUUUUUAUUAUUAAGAAAUAUUUAUUCCUAAUUCAUUUUAUUGAUCUGCACAUUUAAAUUUUUAUAUAAUAUAAUUUAAUCUUUUUUAAUUAAUGUUUGUUCAUCAAAACGAAGUAUCUUUUUCAAAUUUGAUUAUUUUAAAAUUCAAAAUUAUUCUUACAAACAUAUAUAAGGUUAUAUAAUUAGUCAAUUAAAGAAUAAUUUUGUAAGGCAAAAUUUUAUUUGACUUCAAAUAUUAGUUAGGACUAUGUAAUUUUAAUAGUUAUUUUCAAUAAACAUUAUGCAAUCUUUUCUGUGUAGUAAUAUUCAUUUUUUAAAAAAAUUAAUAUUCAUUUAUUUUCAAUCUAUUCUCCUUUUAAAUUCAAGACUAUCUUUUAUUCAUUUCCUAAUAUAGAAUGAUAGUGUAAUUACUCAUUGGUGGUUAUCCUAAAUUAUGAAAAUCCUUUCAUAAAAUAUGAAUGCAUAUUAUUUUAAAUAUGGAUUACUUAAAAUAUAUCGAAUGAAAAUCCUUCCAAUAAAUAUGAAUGCAUAUUUUUGGAAUAAAAUUACUUGAUAUAUAUUGAAAUAAAUUUCUUCCAUUUUGUAGUCCAAUGUUACCAUUUGAGUGAUCACAUAUUUUUCAUAAUAUUUUUAAUUUUAGAAUAACUCUUUGAUUAUUAUAUAUUUUUUUCCAUAUAAGUUGUUUUAUUAAUAAUUGAUUAUUCUCUUAAUUGAUAUUUCUUGGUAUUUUCUUGAUUUAGUCAAUUGUGAUCAAAUCAUAAAUGUUCUUUUUUUUCUAUAUAAUAUUAUUAUUUAAAUUAAUUAUACACACAUUUUGAUCGAUUACAUCUUUUUCAUAAUAUUUUUAAUUUUGGAAGGACUCAUUUGUCAUAAAAAUCUUUUUCAUAUAAGUUACUUGAUUAUUAAAUUAGUUGUUCUCUAAUUAAUUUUUUUGUAAUACUUUUUUAUUUACUAAAUUGUAGUGAAAUCAUAAAUGUUUUUAAAAUAAUAUUAUUAUUUAAAUUAAUUAUGUAUAUUUUUUUAGGGAUAACAUUUUUUAAUAAUAUUUUUUAAUUUUGAAAUUUUUAUAAAUGUAUUUACAUUAUAGUGAAUGUCUAUCAAGACCUACUUCUUCUUUAUUCUUUAUUAUUUCAUAGCACGUUAUUAGCACGAAGCUGUAACCAAUUGAGUAAUAAUUGAGAUAAAGCCGCCCAAAACGUGAUCUGUCAAUUGCUCAACAUGCUUGAGGUAUUAUUUUUCUUUUAAUAAUUCCUCAUGAGGUAUGAUUUCUUUUAUUAAAUAAUUCCUUUAUCUUGUUCCGAUACGGCAAAGAGCAAUAGAUCCACGGUUGGGACAAUGCACUAUUUUAACAUUUACAUUACUGCUACUUUGAAUGAAAAAAAGAACUAAUUAAUACUUCAUUGAAUAAUUUUGAUUUGAAAAGAAUAAUUAUAAAAGGGUUACAUGCAAAGGUCCAUGCAUAUCUAAAAUUGCGUGGUACGGAAGAUUGAUUGGAAAUUUCUUCCCUCUGUCUGUGUAUUCUUUACACAAUUUAUAUAUUUUUAUAUUAUAUUAUUAUAACAUAUCUAUUGACAUUAAAUCUUCUAUAUAAUUUCAAGGUUAGUAAUUUGUUAUCUGUAUUUUGUUACUAAUAAUAUAAUUAUUGUUGGAUUUGAGGAAAAAUAAUUGAUGUGGAACCAUUAUGUUUUAAAUUUAUUCCUCAAGAACAAUAUUAUCAAAAGAAAUAUAAUAUGUUGGGUUCAAGUUCCAUCAAUUUAUGCCUAAGACGCCUUUAUAUGGAUAAGACGUUGAGUUUGAAUUUCAAUGCAUUAUAUUGAUGAUAUUAUGAUGGCUAAGGUAAAAUAAUGAAUAUUCGGUGAAACAUGUCCCAUUAAAUAUGCUCCAUUCCUUGAAUUGAAUGUGGUAGCAAUAAAUAAUAUGUAUGCCUCAAUUUGCUCUUGUAGCAGCUUUCAUAAUUUGAUACGCUUAAAGCAUGAUUAUAUUCUAUUACUGGGGAAUGAGAAACUUAUUAAUGCAAACGUGCACUUGAUUGUGAUUGUAUCACAACUCACCUGCGAAAGAGGUUGAAUAAUUUUGAAAUCUACUUCUGAAGUAGUAAAUCUGAAAUUUAUUCAUAUAAUAGUAAAUCUGAAUUUUACUAAAGCAAAAACACAUAUCAUGGUAAACUUGGAGUUUACUAGAUUAGAAGUUCAUAAGUUGACAUGAACGAUUGUGAUAUUCCGAAUAUGUGCAUACUGAGUAUUGAACAUAUAUUGAAGAAUUAGAAAAUUCUUCAUGAACUUUAAUGUUGUUUGUUUUCAUGAUAAAUUGGUUGGACCAACUAAUUUUGGAAUUGGAUCCCUCCAAAUCUGAAAAGAAUAAAAGGUGAAUAAGAGUCCGUUCACCUAUCAUGUGAUAUGUUGAAAAGAUGCAUCAAUAAGAUGAUCAUAUGUACAGUCAUUGUCAACCUGCAGUUUGACAUUCAUAAAGUUGCUUGCUCAACAAAAUUGAGUUAAGAACAUAAUUUUCAAAUUGUGCAAUCAAGAAAGUUAUCAUGAUGAUGAUGGUUUAGCAUUGAAUGCCUUCAAUAAAUAGAUAAACCAUUGCUAAUGAGAACAAAGCUUCAUGUGUUGAUCUAAAAUAUGAUAUGUUGCAUACAAUAACACUUGUAUGUAUUAGGCCAAUAAAUUAUGAUUAUUUCUUCCCCUCAAUUGGUUCAAGGUCAUGAACCAACUAUUCCAUCUAAUAAUUUUGAUGUGUGGUAUACGAUUAAUGAAUGUACCAUGAUGCACAAAGAUNNNNNNNNNNNNNNNNNNNNNNNNNNNNNNNNNNNNNNNNNNNNNNNNNNNNNNNNNNNNNNNNNNNNNNNNNNNNNNNNNNNNNNNNNNNNNNNNNNNNNNNNNNNNNNNNNNNNNNNNNNNNNNNNNNNNNNNNNNNNNNNNNNNNNNNNNNNNNNNNNNNNNNNNNNNNNNNNNNNNNNNNNNNNNNNNNNNNNNNNNNNNNNNNNNNNNNNNNNNNNNNNNNNNNNNNNNNNNNNNNNNNNAGGUUCAUGUACCUGAAAAUAAUGAAGUGAUGAGAUCUCAAAAUGUUAUGUCGCAUUGUGAACCGAUACUAAAUGAUAUAUCAUCAAUAUAUUUGACACAAUAUUAGCGCAAUAUUGUGAAAUAUUACGAGGAUCUUAAUUCUACGUUAAUUUAAGCAUGCUGACGUAGAAACAUUUAUCAAGUGACAUGAAAGGAUGCAUUUUGGCAAGUAUUAAACUUAUUUGAUUUACAGUCCAGAUAUGUGAAGAUGUCACUAAUAAAAUGUUGAAUAUUGUCACUUGAUAAAACUUAUAUGAAAAACUUUUAAGGAUUCAAAAUGCUUGAAGCAUAUAAAAGUUUCUGGGAAACUUAUUUAUAAUCCUUAUACUGUAUAAGCUUAUUGCUUGAACAUCAUUUGAACUCUUGGAGAGUUUUCAAAGCAAUAGAUUAUUUGUCGAAAUUCAAAAUAUAUCGAAUUGGAUUGAUUAUGAAGUACCAUAUCUUAGUGCAAUUGAUGUACUCAUGUACCUUGCAAAUACUACAAGGCCUAUAGCCUUUUCAGUCAAUUUGUUAGCAAGAUAUAUUUGUGCUCCUACUAUAAGACAUCAAAAUGGGAUAAAACACAUGAGCUUGUUUUAUUCUAAAUAUUGCAGUCCCGAUCUUAUUAGUCAUGCUGAUGUUGGGUACUUAUCUGACCCGCAUAAAGUUCGGUCUCAAAUAGGCUAUGCGUUCAUAUGUGGUGGUACUGCCAUAUAUUGGAGAUAUACAAAGCAGUCUAUCGUAGCCACUUCAUUGAAUCAUGCUGAGAUAAUAACUAUUCAUAAAGCAAGCCGAGAAUGUGUAUGGUUGAGGUCCAUGAUACAUCUCAUUCGAGAAAAAUAUGGUGUGAAAUAUGACAAUCUACCCACAAUUUUAUACAGAGAUAAUUUAGCAUACAUAGCAUAUCUUAAGGGAAGAUUCAUAAAUGGAGAUAGAACGAAGCACAUUUUGCCAAAGCUUUUCUACGUACAUGAGCUACAAAAGAAUGAUGAGAUUAACGUGCAACAGAUUCGUUCAACUGACAAUGUGACUGAUUUAUUCACCAAAUCUUCUCCAACUGCAACUUUCAAGAAGAUGUUGCACAAGAUUGAGAUGCAAAGGUCAAGGAUGUUCUCAUUAAGGGGAAUUAAUACGCGCUAUACUCUUUUUUCCUUACGAGAUUUUGUCCCACUGGGUUUUCCUUGUAAGUUUUUAAUGAGGCAGCCGAAAUGCGUAUUAUUAGAGAUGUGUACUCUUUUUCCUUCACUAGAUUUUUUUCCAACUGAGUUUUUUCUAGUAAGGUUUUAACGAGACACAUUAUCUACCAAUUAGACAUUCAAUGGGGAGUGUUAUAAAUGUAUUUACAUUAUAGUGAAUGUCUAUCAAGAUCUAUCAAGAUCUACCUUGAUAUCUAUUAGGAUUUGAAGCAUCUGUCUGUUACUCAGACUAGGAGUAAAUUUUUCCUAUAAAUAAAGGAAUUUUAUUCAUUGUAUUUACAAUCUUAUGAUCUUUCAUCUCUUAAGAAAAGAAAUAAGAAUUACUCAGAAAUAAGAAUUACUCUCUCUAUUCUCUCUACUCUCUCUACUCUUCUUCGUUAUUCGUUAUUGUUUCAUAACAGAAAUGACUUUUUGACUAUUAUAAUCUUAUUUAUAUAAGUGACAUGAUUACUAUUUACUAAUUGAUUUUUUUUGUAAUGUUUUCUUCAUUUACUCAAUUGUAGUAAACUCGUAAAUAUUUACUUUUUAUAAUAUUAUUAUUUAUGUUGUUUAAAUUAAUUGUUCACAUAUUUUAAGGAAUGACAUCUCUAUUGAAAUAUUUUUUAUUCUGGAAUGACGUUUUGGUCAUAGUAAUUUUUUUCAUAUAAAUUGCUUGAUUACUAAUUGGUUAUUCACUAAAAUAAAUUUUGUUGCCAACAAAAUAGAUUCUUAUUACCAAAAUACCAAGUGAUUAGUUCUCGAUAUGCCACUUGGCUUAAUUUUAAGCUAACUACUUUGUUUUAUCAUAUAAAUAUAUAGAUUUUCAAGCAAUCCUACUUAUCAUGUGUACAUUUAUUUUUACAAACUAUAUUAUUUAGGUAUAUACUUAGUAAAUUUUAAUUAACCUGGUGUCUAAGUGACACUUGUAGUGACGAGGUGUCUUAAGUGCUGUGUGUCUAUUGGGUCACAGCUUAAUAUAAAUAUAAUUACCUCAAAUUACAACAACAACAACAACAACAUACCCAGUAUAUUCCCACAUAGUGGAGUUUGGGGAGGGUAAAAUGUACACAGUCCAUACCACUAUCCCGACGGGGGUAGAAAGGCUGUUUUCGAUAGACCCCCAGCUCAGGACCAAGGACCAUCCUUCAUACCAAACACGCCCUAAAUAUAAAACAAAUCCAAGCUGAAUAGAGAAAAUAGAGGCUCAGAUCUGUAUUAAGCUCGGGCAGCAAGAGAGUCCAACAACGCCUUGGCUGCAAAACCAUCAGAAAAUCUGGUAGCAUGCCCCGUCAAGAUGCGCGUCGGAUAACAUCAAAUGAUCAAUUAAUCUGCUCGGAAGGGAAUAAAAUAUGACAAAAUCAUCAUCGCCUCUUUAAAGCCACCGAUUAUACUCGGCACUAAAUGCUCCAACAGAACCAUUAGAAAAAGGAGAGAAAAAAAAGAGCUGAAGGUUGUCGAAAACCUUCAAACAAAUGAUGUUAACCAUAUAUAUUUCCCUUCGUUCAAAAUCAAUAAAAGGGUUGUUGGCAUUCUUAAAUAAACUUAAUAUCUUAUCAAAAAACAGCAUAUAAUGAACGUAUUUGGUUGUAUUUUGCUAUUUUAUUAUCUUUUUUGUUUUUAUAAUCCUGCAUAAGAUUUUUUUUUUUUUCAAUGAAAGCCUAUCAAAAAUAAUUUUCUUUAUCUCACAAAAAUAAAAAUAAGAUUUAUGUAUAUUCAUAAAUCUCAGUAUCUUAAUCUCACUAGCAUAUUAUUCGUAUUGCUUUAUAAUAUCACCUAAGUGGAUUUAUAUAUAUUCAAUGAUUUCAUAAGAUUCUUGAAUUACUCUAGAGAGUUCCAAGAACCAAAAGAUCUUUUUGACAAGUCUUGUGAAUACAACCAAAAGUGACCAAUCAUCAUAAUGAUGUCAAAUUUUUAUCAACUCUUCUUUUGCAUUUAUAUAAUUUCG
RNAcentral lists this long non-coding RNA (45582 nucleotides) under Capsicum annuum. RNAcentral's name for it is "long non-coding RNA (CANN_LNC021156)". Lineage: Eukaryota; Viridiplantae; Streptophyta; Magnoliopsida; Solanales; Solanaceae. The record is from RNAcentral.